RNAcentral lists this long non-coding RNA (59377 nucleotides) under Malus domestica (apple). Its description in RNAcentral is "long non-coding RNA (MDOM_LNC007304)". The record is from RNAcentral. Lineage: Eukaryota; Viridiplantae; Streptophyta; Magnoliopsida; Rosales; Rosaceae.
GACUUCAGUCCCGGCAUGUCCACCACGAACACGUAGGAGUUCGGGUACUCCUUGACGUCUGCCGGCGUGGAGGCCAUGGCCUUGGCGUCACGGACGUAGGUCCGGGUGGGGGCGUUGGACUUCUCGGCGUCGUCGGCGGCGUCGAUGAUGUGCUGAAGUGUGGAGAAGAGUGGGGCAUCCAAACCUUGGAUUCUGAUAUCCAUUCUUCCCUUCUUGGUGGGUGGAAUUUUCGCUUUUCGGUUUCGAUUUGAAGGCUUUCGUGAAUUUUCGAGUGGGAAUCUGGUCGCUGUUACGGAGGGGGGUGGUGGUUAUGGGCAUUUAUAGGAGAAGGAGUUGAGGGAGUUGAGGGAGGACGGGGGUUAGCGGGGAGGGAAAAGGAAUGUUCUGGAGAAACGUGAAGGGAAGGGAGGAGGUUCCAGUAGGUUCCAUUUCUUCUUUGAGAGUCUAGAACAUUCUGGAAACGUUUACCAGGGGCAGGGCCUCUUUAGCCAUUUAUGAGAUAUUUUGUUGAGAAAGAGCCAAAAAGCUAAAAUAGAUAACAGUACUAAAUUAAAAGAUAAUCCCAAGAAUGCAAAAGAGAAAAAUGUGAAGAAGAUAAUCGGGAAGAGGAUCAUCUCCUGAGCUUAGGAUGGGGAUUCUCUUAACUAGCCUAUUUAAGCAGUUCAAAUCUAAUACAACAGCUUUAAACAGGGAGAUUCUCUAAAAAUUAUAAUUGCAACCGUUGGAUUCAAUUUGAACAGUCCAGAUGGGCUAGUCAGGUGGAUCUCCAUCCUGAGCUCAGAAGAGGAUCAUCUUCUAGAUAAUUGUGCACCUAAUUUUGUUAUGUGAAGAAACAAACGAAAAUUAAUUCGAUAAAUCGAUGGCUAGAGGUAUUCUUCCUUUUUGGUUUAAUAAUCUAUGGUACUUUUUAAAUUCAAACUACAUAAAUAAAUGUUUUUUUUUUUGGUUGAACAUAGAUAAUGAGUUAAAUGACGAGUUUGGUAAACACUCCAUAAAUAAUAUAACAAUGGUCAAUCUACUAGGGUGAACACUCCAUAAAUAAUGUAACAAUGGUCAAUCUAAUGGUGUUUUUGGUGACAAAUCGAGAAUAUAAUAAAUAUGAGCCACCAAAAGACAAGUAAAUUCCUAGUAGCACCACUCUUUAAAUUAUUAUAAUAAUUUCGAAUCUUCUCAUUUUUAAUUAAUAAUAAUAUUAAAAAAAAGUAAACUCUAAAAUAAGGUUAUCGAUUGGCACACAAAUAAGUUAUUAAAAACGAAAACUAACCAAAAGGGCCUGAAAACUUUAAGUUUUAACCAAAAACCAUGUUGUAAGUUUAUUUAAUGGUUAGGAUAAAGCCCAACACUAAAUCAAUCCAAAUAAAAUGGCCCAAACAAUGAGUGUCCGAUUUUGCCCCUGACGGCAAAGCAUUUCUCCGUUUAAUCUCUCUUCCUUUAUGGGUCUCUCUGCUCUGCUGUGGUCUGUCUCCCCCCCAUUUCUUCCUGACACAUCUAAAGAGAGAAAGAGAAGUGAAGGAAGUGAAAGAACAACACAUUUGAAUCCUUUUAUUUCCAAGUUCAAUUCCAAUUCCUCCAUUUUUCAAUCGAAUCGAUCGAAUCUCUCUCCCUCUCUCUCUCGAUCUCUCCACCCAAUAUGUAUUUUUGUUUUCAAUUCAAUUUGAGUUCCACAAUUUUUCAAAUCAAUCGAAUCGAUCGAAUCGGAUAAGCACGGGCGACCUUCUCAGCAUCGAUUCUCUGGAGCUCGAGUUCCCCUGUCAGUAUAACACGUUACCUUUCUCUUUCGAUCUGGUUUUUGUUUUCAAAAAUUUGCAUGUUGCUGUUUCAUUCCUGUUUUCAAUUUACGAUUUUGAAUCUUUGCAGUUGAAUUUCUUUUGCAUACAUCAUUAGUUCUCGAACGCUUGAGAUUUCUAUGAAUCCAAUGAUCUAUUUUGUUUUAAAUAUUGUUUACAUGAUCCUACUGCUGUUUUAUUUUUCUAUUUUGUUUUAAAUAUUGUUUAUAAUUGGUAAUGAGGAUGAGGAUUUGGUUUUCGUGGAUUUCAUGAGAAGUUAAAUUUUAGUUUCGAAAAUUUCGAAAUUGAUUAAAAAGAAAUUAACUUGGCAGCGGACUGAAUAUUCUGCUGUAAUGAUUUUUUGUCUCUAUUUUUCCAUAAAUUGUAGAUUUCAUUACAUUUUGUCAAUCUUGAUAUUGUUGACGGUAAUUGUGGUAAAAAUACUGAUUUUAUCGAUGUAUUUGUUGCUAAUCGCAUUGGGAUUUUUCGGUUGCAGCCGCGGUGGCAUGGGAAGCGGGGAAGCCACUGUCAAUUGAGGAAGUGGAGGUGGCCCCACCGCAGAAACAUGAAGUUCGCUUGAAGGUCCUCUUCACCUCUCUUUGCCACACCGAUGUCUACUUCUGGGAAGCCAAAGUAAAAACUUCAACUUUGAAUGCCAUUUUCUACUUUAAUAUCUGCGUAUCGAUAACUACAUCAUUAAGCAUGAUUCUUCAUAUGUUUAUAGUACUUAGUCCAUAACUUGCAAUUGAUUAGUGAAGUUAAGCAUGAUUUUGAGUGCUAAGUCUAAUGUGAUGAUAAAUCCUAUACAAGGCAUUUUCGUGCUUAGAAUGUCAGCUGUUGGAAUUGAAACAUAUAUGUUGUGUGCCAGGGACAACAACCGCUGUUUCCUCGCAUUUUUUGUCAUGAAGCUGGAGGGUAUGUACACAUCUCUGAAUAUUAAAGCUACAUAAUUUGUAAUUAACUUAGUAUUUGCUUCCAUUUUACGCGGUUUGUUUACUUUUCUAAAUUUUGUUUGCUUAACAUUUUGUGUUUAGAGUUGUGGAAAGCGUAGGCGAGGGCGUAACUGAACUCCAGCCGGGUGACCACGUCCUCCCUGUGUUCACUAGAGAGUGCAAGGAGUGCGCGCAAUGUAAGUCGAAGGAAAGCAACAUGUGUGAUCUGCUGAGGAUCAAUACUGAUAGGGGUACCAUGAUCAAUGAUGGCCAGUCCAGGUUCUCCAAGGAUGGAAAACCAAUUUAUCACUGUUUAGGUACUUCUACCUUCAGUGAAUACACUGUUUGUCAUGUUCGUUCCGUUGCUAAGAUCAACCCGGCUGCUCCCCUUGACAAAGUUUGUGUUCGUAGUUGCGGAAUAUGCACAGGUUCGAAAGACUUCUCCCAUUUUGACAGUGAAAAGUUGGAAUAAGAAAUUAGGGAUUUUCCAACUUUUCUUUCUGGAGUAAUCAAUUAUUGUUUCUGUUGGUGUAUUUGAAGGUUUUGGCGCCACUGUGAAUGUUGCAAAACCGAAAAAGGGUUCAUCUAUUGCCAUCUUUGGAUUGGGAGCUGUUAGUCUUGCUGUAAGUCAUUCUUAUUGCUCCUCUGUUAUGGCUCUUUUGGAUAGUUUGGAGUAGUGUAAGGAUUUUCUUGUUCAUCUUGUUCCAUUUUAGGCUGCUGAAGGUGCAAGGGUUUCGGGCUGUUCAAGGAUAUAGGAGGGAGGAUGGAUGGGAGGGUGAUUGUUCUUGUUUGCAGGGAGUCUCAGUGAAUUGCGUCACAAUUUAUACAUUAGGUUUAUCAAACUGAACUAUUUAUCAAACUAAACCACAUUUUUUUACCAAAGCAAAGUGAACUAUUUAUCAAAAUGAACUAUUUAUCAAAUUGAACUAGAAAACCACACUUUUUUACCAAAGCAAGCUGAACUAUUUAUCAAACUGAACUAGAAAAUCACACUUUUUUACCAAAGCAAACUGAACUAUUUAUCACACUAAACCACAUUUUUUUACCAAAGCAAACUGAACUAUUUAUCAAAGUGAACUAUUUAUCAAACCAAACCACAUUUUUUUACCAAAGCAAACUGAACUAUUUAUCAAACUGAACUAGAAAACCACAUUUUUUUACCAAAGCAAAUUGAACUAUUUAUUAAAUUAAACCACACUUUUUUACCAAAACAAAUUGAACUAUUUAUCAAAGUGAACUAUUUAUCAAACCAAACCACAUUUUUUUACCAAAGCAAACUGAAUUAUUUAUCAAACUAAACCACACUUUUUUACCAAAGCAAACUGAACUAUUUAUCAAACUGAACUAGAAAAACAUAUUUUUUUACCAUAGCAAACUAAACUAUUUAUUAAACUAAACCACAUUUUUUUACCAAAGCAAACUGAACUAUUGAUCAUCUCCAGGACCAUUGUUUUAUCAAUCAAUAGUCAAGACCGUACUGGCAAAUCUUUAAACCCACCAACUAAAAAUGAAAUUGAAAUAAUUUUCAAUGAAAGGGUUCCUACAGAAAACAUUUAUACAGGUUCUAAGCGGUAAACAAAAUUAAGGUGGAGAUUGGUAAUUUGAACAACCUAAUUCAAAUAAGUAAAAAAAAAAAAAUAUAUAUAUAUAUAUAUAUAUAUAUAUAUAAAUAAAAGAAAGUGGGAAUCGAUGGGUUUCUCAAGCCUAUGAAAAAGACGUCCCUUCCGACUUCCAGGAGCAAGGGGGAGGGCAAGAAGAAAACAAGAAAAAUAAAAAGGAGAAACCAACGGCAAAUUCAAAAAAAAAAGAGAGAGAGAAACUGGCUAACAAAAUGGCAUUCAAAUUCUAAACGGUUUGGCUAACGGAAGUGGUGUUCCGUCAAGGGCAAGGAUUGGAAAAAAAAAUUGUUUUGCACGCUGGGCUUACUUCCAGCCCGUGUGCUCUUUAGUUAGUCUUUUAUUUCUUAUAGUUUGUGUCCUUUUUCAUUAAAAUUCAUGUCCUUUUUAUUAAAUAAAGUUAUUAUGUGGUUUUUGGUUAAAUUAAAGUUAGUCAAAACCUUUUUCAUUAAAGCUCCCUUAUUAAAAAGGCUGGUUUAUAUUUAAAUUGGAAGAUUACAAUAUAUAUCUGAAGUCAAGACGGCACCCAGCUUCCUUUCCUUCUUAUUCCUUUUAUGAAAGACCAAAAUGAAAAACAGAAACAAAGUAUACGAAUUUACAGCAGACACAGAAAACCAAAUAACACGAUGCAUAUAUACUUCAUCUACAUAUAUAUACCGCCACCGCCACUGCCACUCAGUAGUAUCCUCACGUACACUGAUCAUGCACUGCCAUCAAAGCAAGCCGACCUCUGCCUGCUCGUCAAGCUCUUCAACUUUGCCCUUCAUACCCACCGGCACCACGUUCCCCACCGCCUUGUCCACCUUGCCUGCCAGGUUGCCCACCUUGCCCACCGCCUUGCCAACCACAUUCCUCUUGGCCACCUUCUUCCCAGCCUUGACCACCUUUGCCUCCCUGGCCACCGCCUUCCCUACCACGUUCCUCUUGGCCACCUUCUUCGGAUUAUUUCAGAGAUAAAAAUUGAUGCAUACCACUUUUGCCAGUUCCGGAAGUGGAGAGAGCUGUUUACAGCACAUGCUUUGUCAACUAGUGGUGGAUCUAGGAAAUAAUAUUAGAGGGUCAGUAAGAAUAGAAUACGUAGCACAUAAUUUUUUUUUUACCAGAAAUAGUAUAAAAAAAGUCGUACCCAGUGCACAAGGCUCCCGCUUUACGCAGGGUCUGGAAGAGGUGAAUGUCGGUUAACCUUACGCCCAUUUUAUGGAGAGGCUGCUCCCAAGUCUCGAACCCGAGACCUACCGCUCAUGAACCAGAAAUAGUAUGCAUAUCAUUAUUUAAUCGAGUCUUGGUAAACCUGAAGUCAUUUGGAAAAACAUAUUGCAAACCUAUUAAUGCCCCAUUUACGUGAGUAACUAACAUGUUCCAAAGCUACUUCCAUAUGAAUGCUUAACAAAAAAACAAACUUAUCUUGAACGCACUAAAAAUGUUUGAUAUCAUUGCAUCUCAUUAAUAUGGUUGUCCAAGAAUGAUAAUGUUUUGUUAUUUAUUGAGAUCACCAUUUCAUUCACUCUUCAUUCACAUUCUAUCAAACAAUUGGAAGACAUGGAUGGAACCAACUCUAAUCUUAAAAAUAGCAACAUCAAGGUAUCCAUGAAUAUACACUAAAGCUCGGAAGAUCGACACUCAAAGUAUCCAUAAACGUUCACCGAAGUUCGAAGGGUUAGCUGACCCCCUACCCCUCAAUGCAUCCGCCACUACUGUCAACCAAGUCGGAAACGAAGAUGUCAUUAAAUCUGUGCCACCACUUGCUGCAUCCAAUGGUUUCCAACUAGAAACUCCCUUCCCGGAAUGGCACCGCCGUGGUGUCCUCAGUGUCAGUGGCAUCCUUAAAUCUUGACAAAAAUGUUGAGAUAUUGGUAUCUCAACAUUGCUCUGUUUUCUAGGUCCGGCGACCAAUCAGAGGCGCCUAACGGAACCGGCAUAGGCUCGAACAGAACCUCAAAGAGGCAGAGAAAUUAUGCAGUACCUCAUCUCAAUCUGUUUAAACUUUAAAAUGCUGACACACGGAACAAAGUAUAUAUGGUGUAAUUCCAAACACACUCAUAUUACGAACUCUGUUUGAUUACGUUCGUAAAAUGCUCGGUUAUUCGAGUUAUUUGUUCCGUUGAUUCGCGUUUUUGAAGCCAAUUUUAUGAUAACAUAAACAAAAAUGGAAAUAAAACACAUAAUAUGCUUCAUUGAUCUGAAAAACCAACAAGCUUAUAAUACCACAACACAAACAUAACAAACACAUCCAGAAUACACCAACGAAGCCCUAAAAUCCACACACAAACCCUUAUGUUAUAAUCCCUGCACGAUUAUUCUCAUAACCCAAAUCACAGAAACAGUUUCAAGCAAUCUUGACCUCGAUUGUCUUCGGCUUCUUCGGCUCCGGCGGCGGCAGCUUCUGCACUGUGACAGUCAAAACCCCAUCCUGGCAAACAGCAGAAAUCGCAUCCACAUUAGCAUUCUCCGGCAACACAAACUUCCUCAUGAACUUGCCGACCCUCCGCUCCAUCCUCACGUACUUAGCCCCUUCCUUCUCCUCCUCCCGCUUCCUCUCGCCGCUGAUCAGAAGCACAUUGUCGUCCUCCACCUGGACCUUGAUGUCCCCGGACUUCAGUCCCGGCAUGUCCACCACGAACACGUAGGAGGUCGGGUACUCCUUGACGUCUGCCGGCGUGGAGGCCAUGGCCUUGGCGUCGCGGAAGUAGGUCCGGGUGGGGGCGUUGAAGGAUUUCUCGGCGUCGUCGGCGGCGUCGAUGAUGUGCUGAAGUGUGGAGAAGAGCGGGGCAUCCAAACCCUGGAUUCUGACAUCCAUUCUUCCCUUCUUGGUGGGUGGAAUUUUUGCUUUUCGGUUUUGAUUUGAAGGCUUUUGUGAGUUUUCGAGUGGGAAUCUCGUCGCUGUUACGGAGGGGAGUAGUGGUUGUGGGUAUUUAUAGGAGGAGUUGAGGGAGGACGGGGGUUAGCGGGGAGGGAAAAUGAAUGUUCUGGAGAAACGUGGAAGGAAGGGAGGAGGUUCCAGUAGGUCCCAUUUCUUCUGUGAGCGUCUAGAACAUUCUGGAAGCGUUUACUAGGUAGGGGCAGGGCCCCUAUAGCCAUUUAUGAGAUAUUUUGUUGGGAAAGAACCAAAAAGCUAAAAUAGAUAACAGUACUAAAUUAAAAGAUAAUCACCAAAAAGCAAAAGAGAAAAAUGUGACGAAGAUAAUCGUGCACUUAAUUUUGUUAUGUGAAGAAACAAACGAAAAUUAAUUCGAUAAAUCGACGGCUAGAGGUAUUCUCCCUGUUUGGUUCAAUCAUUUAGGGCACUUUUCAAAUUACAUAGAUAAUGAGUUAAAUGACUAGUUUGAUUAACAUUUCAUAAAUAAUAUAACAAUGGUCAAUCUACUGGGACGAACACUUCAUAAAUAAUGUAACAAUGGUCAAUCUAAUGAUAUUCUUGGUGACGAAUUGAGAAUAUAUUAAAUAUGAGCCACCAAAAGACAAGUAAAUUCCUAGUAGCACCACUUUUUAAAUUAUUAAAUAAUAUUAUUAUUAGAAAAAAAAGUAAACUCUAAAAUAAGGUUAUCAAUUGGUACACAAAUAAGAGCUCGUUUUGAUGUGCUUUUAAAAUAAUUGAAAAUACUUUUAAAGAAAAUAUUUGUAGGUUCCAAAAGCACUUAAGUGUUUUCUACAAAAAUAACCAUUUAUGUGCUUCUUUCAAGAAGCACUUUAUGUGCUUUUCUAAGAUUUACUACUAUUUUUACUAAGGAUUGUUUCCAAAAAUAUUUUCACUAAAAGCGCUUUCAGUCAUUUUAAAAACAUAUCCAAACGAAUCCCAAGUUAUUAAAAAUGCUGGUUUUAUAUCCAAAUUGGAAGAUUACAAUAUAUAUCUGAAGUCAAGACGGCACCCACCUUCCUUUCCUUCUUUUUCUUUUUAUAUGAAAGACCAAAAUGAAAAACAGAAACAAAGCAUACAAAUUUACAGCAAACACAGAAAACCAAAUAGGCCAACAACAACAACAACAACAACAAAGCCUUUUCCCACUAAGUGGGGUCGGCUAUAUGAAUCCUAGAACGCCAUUGCGCUCGGUUUUGUGUCAUGUCCUCCGUUAGAUCCAAGUACUCUAAGUCUUUUCUUAGAGUCUCUUCCAAAGUUUUCCUAGGUCUUCCUCUAUCCCUUCGGCCCUGAACAUCUGUCCCGUAGUCACAUCUUCGAACCGGAGCGUCAGUCGGCCUUCUUUGCACAUGUCCAAAUCACCGGAGCCGAUUUUCUCUCAUCUUUCCUACAAUUUCGGCUACUCCUACUUUACCUCGGAUAUCCUCAUUCCCAAUCUUAUCCUUUCUCGUGUGCCCACACAUCCCACAAAGCAUCCUUAUCUCCGCUACACCCAUUUUGUGUACGUGUUGAUGUUUCACCGCCCAACAUUCUGUGCCAUACAACAUCGCUGGCCUUAUUGCUGUCCUAUAAAAUUUUCCCUUGAGCUUCAGUGGCCUACGACAGUCACACAACACGCCGGAUGCACUCUUACACUUCAUCCAUCCAGCUCGUAUUCUAUGGUUGAGAUCUCCAUCUAAUUCUCCGUUCUCUUGCAAGAUAGAUCCUAGGUAGCGAAAACGGUCGCUUUUUGUGAUCUUCGCUAGAUUGCUCCGGUCAUUAGUGUGGAUAAGUAUAUAAAUGGAUAGAGAUAGGAAAGCAAACACAAGAUGUACGUGCUUCACCCAGAUUGGCUACGUCCACGUAAUAGAAGAGUUCUCAUUAAUUGUGAAGGGUUUACACAAGUACAUAGGUUCAAACUCUCCUUUAGUGAGUACAAGUGAAUGAUUUAGUACAAAUGACAUUAGGAAAUAUUGUGGGAGAAUGAUCUCGUAAUCACGAAACUUCUAAGUAUCGGAGUGUGGUGUCGUCUUGACUUGCCUUAUCUGUCUCAUAGGUAGAUGUGGCAUCUUCUCUGGAAGUACUCUUCCUCCAUCCAGGGGUGGUAUCUUUAACUGGUGGAGAUGCACAAGGUAAUGUAUCAAUUUCACUUGAAGCUUACUUGUAGUUUCAGGCUUGGUCAAGCGCGAUACAAACCAUGUAGUAGGAGUCCCCCAAGUCGCCGAGCUAGGGGGUCUGCUGAAAGAGGUGACAGACAAGGUAAGCAAUCAGAGCUCCGACUAAUUGUUCACCUUCUCCCCAUCUUGCAGCCGCAUGAAGGAUAAAGAGAAGAAAAAUGAGAAGAGAUGAUAUGAGAUACUUUUGCUUUUGAAGAAGUAACUUUCCACAGGCUUAUUCUUAAACUGAGCUGGAGGGUUUUCUGGUUUCCUCCAGAGUAUAAGGCCGACUGAAGAAUUUGAGGGUCAAAACAAGUCCAUCAAAUCUAGAGUACGUUCCACCCUGCUGAUAUGGGAUACUUUUGCUUUUGACAGAGUAAUGGAUGUAUCGGCACGUGUGCUGUUACACUUGUCUCCACAUGCUUCCUUGUAUCCUUCGCACUUGCCCUAUCUGUUCCUCAAGCAGAUGCGGAAUCUUCCCUGGAAACAUAAGAUGUUGAAGAUGAGUACUCGAGAGCAAUACCAGGUAAGUAAUCAGGUAAGGGGUUCCAGGCAGUCAGUUCCUGGCUGGAAGCUUGAUUCCAAGUGCUGACUGAUUGCUCUCUUUCUCCUUGUCUUGCAGGUAAAAACAAGGCCAAAGGAAAAGACAGGGAAAAAGCAUGAUAUGGGAUACUCUUGCUUUUAAUCCUGAUGAUAUGAGAUAUUCUUGCUCUAGUAUAGCUUGUUUACAGAGGUAUUAUCGGGGGGAAAGAAAGCUGAAUAUUUCGAAAGGCUUCGUUGGGAGUGCCCUCUCAGAUAUGAUGAAGGGUUGAGCAUUUUUGCAGGUCUGCCUGUCCGUUGGGGAUGGAGGUCGACAUAUAUAGGAGUCUCCCUAACAACAAGUAGUAAUGCUAUUCAUUUACCCUGCUUGGUCAUAGCACGGUAGUGGGAGCUGCCAGUUUCACAUGUUUUAACUCUGUCAGAGCACUUUGAAAAAGUGGUCUGUGGUAUCUGGCUCUCGAGAUUCGGAGAACGAUGCCUCUUCGAUUUUUGAGAAAGCAAUUAUGCUGGGGGUCUAGCUCUCGAGAUUCGGAGAGCAGUGUCUCUUCGAUUUUUGAGGAAGUAAUCAUGUUAGGAGUCUGGCUCUCGAGAUUCGGAGGGCGGUGCCUCUUCGAUUUUGGAGCAAGCAAUCAUGUUGGGAGUGUUGUCUCGAAUGUGAGUAAAGGUUGGGCAUGUUUGCUAGUCUACCUUGCCCCGAAGCACAAAGGUUGACACACAGGGACUUUCCAAUUAUCUAGCAAUGGUACUGUUCCUUUACCCUCUCUUCGCUUUUGAGAAAGUAGUCAUGUUGGGAGUCUGGCUCUCGAGAUUCGGAGGACGGUGCCUCUUCGAUUUUGGAGCAUGCAAUCUUGUUGGGAGUGUUUUCUCGAAUGUGAGUAAAGGUUGGGCAUGUUUGCGAGUCUACCUUGCCACGAAGCACAGAUGUUGACACACAGGAACUUUCCAAUUAUCCAGCAAUGGUACUGUUCCUUUACCCUUGUGGGUAAUAAUAUGGUAGCUAGACCUUCAAAAUUUAUGUGUCUAAACUUUGUUAGUGCUGUUUCUUUGCUAUUCUUUUACCUUUCUUGGUCAGAGCGAUGUAGUGGGAGCUGCAAGCUUCACGUGCUCAACUUUGGCAGAGAACUUUGGCAAAGUUAUCUGUGGUACCCAUGAGCUAUUGUUGCGUGUGGGAAGUGGGUGAUUGAACAGUAAGAUUCAUGUGCUUUCUACUUCACCAGAAGUCUUCGACAGAAUGCCCAUAAUUUCUGCAAAGCUGAGUGUGCGUGUGACAGGUGCUGACAAGGCUAGAAUAGUAGGUGCCUCUUCGAUUUCUGAGAUCGGCCCUCGUGGUAUCUGAGCAGCCCAGCUUUUGAGAAAGCGAGCGCCUCUUCGAUUGAUUCGGAGAACGAUGCCUCAUCGAUUUUUGAGAAAGCAAUCAUGCUGGGGGUCUGGCUCUCGAAGAUUCGGGGAGCAGUGUCUCUCCGAUUUUUGAGAAAGUAAUCAUGUUGGGAGUCUGGCUCUCGAGAUUCGGAGGGCGGUGCCUCUUCGAUUUUGGAGCAAGCAAUCUUGUUGGGAGUGUUUUCUCGAAUGUGAGUAAAGGUUGGGCAUGUUUGCUAGUCUACCUUGCUACGAAGCACAGAGGUUGACACACAGGGACUUUCCAAUUAUCCAGCAAUGGUACUGUUCCUUUACCCUCUCUUCGAUUUUUAAGAAAGUAGUCAUGUUGGGAGUCUGGCUCUCGAGAUUCGGAGGACGGUGCCUCUUCGAUUUUGGAGCAAGCAAUCUUAUUGGGAGUGUUUUCUCGAAUGUGAGUAAAGGUUGGGCAUGUUUGCUAGUCUACCUUGCCACGAAGCACAGAGGUUGACACACAGGGACUUUCCAAUUAUCCAGCAGUGGUACUGUUCCUUUACCCUUGUGGGUAAUAAUAUGGUAGCUAGACCUUCAAAAUUUAUGGGUCUAAACUUUGUUAGUGCUGUUUCUUUGCUAUUCUUUUACCCUUCUUGGUCAGAGCGAUGUAGUGGGAGCUGCAAGCUUCACGUGCUCAACUUUGGCAGAGAACUUUGGCAAAGUUAUCUGUGGUACCCAUGAGCUAUUGUUGCGUGUGGGAAGUGGGUGAUUGAACAGUAAGAUUCAUGUGCUUUCUACUUCACCAGAAGUCUUCGACAGAAUGCCCAUAAUUUACACAAAGCUGAGUGUGCGUGUGACAGGUGCUGACAAGGCUGGAAAAGUAGGUGCCUCUUCGAUUUCUGAGAUCGGCCCUCGUGGUCUCUAGGGAGCCCAGCUUUUGAGAAAGCGAGCGCCUCUUCGAUUUCUGAGAUCGACCUUCAUGGUCUUUGAGCAGCCCAACUUUUGAGAAAGCAAACGCCUCUUCGAUUUCUGAGAUCAACCCUCGUGAUCUCUAAGCAGCCCAGCUUUUGAGAAAGCAAACGCCUCUUCGAUUUCUGAGUAGGCGCCUCUUCGAUUUCUGAAGCUCCGUCGAGUGCAGAUUUUUAUAGGGGCUGGCAUUAAGUUCCAAAGCACACUUGAAUCUCCACCAGUAGAAGCUUCAUUCUUGCACUUCUAAGAUCUUGAUUUGUCCGACCUCUUCUCUCUUCAACACCUUUGAAAAUGUCUGGCCCCUCCGACCGUCGUUUUGACUUGAACCUUGUUGAAGAGGCAGCCCCGCCUUCUCCAGACAACAUAUGGCGUUCAUCCUUCGUCUCCCCUACUGGUCCUCUUACCGUUGGGGAUUCCAUGAUGAAGAAUGAUAUGACCGCUGCGGUGGUGGCCAGGAACCUUCUCACUCCCAAAGAUAACAGACUACUUUCCAAACGGUCUGAUGAGUUAGCUGUUAAGGAUUCGCUGGCUCUCAGUGUUCAGUGUGCAGGUUCUGUGUCUAAUAUGGCCCAACGCCUAUUUGCUCGAACCCGCCAAGUUGAAUCAUUGGCGGCUGAAGUGAUGAGUCUCAAACAGGAGAUUAGAGGGCUCAAGCAUGAGAAUAAACAGUUGCACCGGCUCGCACAUGACUAUGCUACAAACAUGAAGAGGAAGCUUGACCAGAUGAAGGAAACUGAUGGUCAGGUUUUACUUGAUCAUCAGAGAUUUGUGGGUUUGUUCCAAAGGCAUUUAUUGCCUUCGUCUUCUGGGGCGGUACCGCGUAAUGAAGCUCCGAAUGAUCAACCUCUGAUGCCUCAUCCUUCUAGGGUUCUGUCCAGUACUGAGACUCCAAAUGAUCCCCCUCCGGUGCCUUCUCUUUCUGGGGCUCUACCGACUGCUGAGACUUCUCCUAAGCAACCUUUGUGAAGGCUCCCUCUUGUGUGUUUAUUUUGACUCAUGUAUAUGUACAUAUUUGUAGCUUAUCGGGGAUAUCAAUAAAUAAGCUUUCCUUCAUUUCAACGUAUUGUGUUAAAUACACCAAAGCCUUCUUCGCUAAGUUCUUUGAAUUUUCUUUUGUUGAAGCUUGUAUGUUGAAGCUUUCUGGGUGGAGCAUGUAGGUUGGGGUAGUGUUCCCUUAAUUUCCCGAGUGAGGAAAACUUCUCGGUUGGAGACUUGGAAAAUCCAAGUCACUGAGUGGGAUCGGCUAUAUGAAUCUUAGAACGCCAUUGUGCUCGAUCCUGAGUCAUGUCCUUCGUUAGAUCCAAGUACUCUAAGUCUUUUCUUAGAGUCUCUUCCAAAGUUUUCCUAGGUCUUCCUCUACCCCUUCGGCCCUGAACCUCUGUCCCAUAGUCGCAUCUUCUAAUCGGAGCGUCAGUAGGCCUUCUUUGCACAUGUCCAAACCACCGUAACCGAUUUUCUCUCAUCUUUCCUUCAAUUUCGGCUACUCCUACUUUACCCCGGAUAUCCUCAUUCCUAAUCUUAUCCUUUCUCGUGUGCCCACACAUCCAACGAAGCAUCCUCAUCUCCGCUACACCCAUUUUGUGUACGUGUUGAUGUUUCACCGCCCAACAUUCUGUGCCAUACAGCAUCGCCGGCCUUAUUGCCGUCCUAUAAAAUUUUCCCUUGAGCUUCAGUGGCAUACGGCGGUCACACAACACGCCGGAUGCACUCUUCCACUUCAUUCAUCCAGCUUGUAUUCUGUGGUUGAGAUCUCCAUCUAAUUCUUCGUUCUUUUGCAAGAUAGAUCCUAGGUAAUGAAAACGGUCGCUCUUUGGUAUUUCUUGAUCUCCGAUCCUCACCCCUAACUCGUUUUGGCCUCCAUUUGCACUGAACUUGCACUCCAUAUAUUCUGUCUUUGAUCGGCUUAGGCGAAGACCUUUAGAUUCCAACACUUCUCUCCAAAGGUUAAGCUUUGCAUUUACCCCUUCUUGAGUUUCAUCUAUCAACACUAUAUCGUCUGCGAAAAGCAUACACAAAGGAAUAUCAUCUUGAAUAUGUCCUGUUAACUCAUCCAUUACCAACGCAAAAAGGUAAGGACUUAAGGAUGAGCCUUGAUGUAAUCCUACAGUUAUAGGAAAGCUUUCGGUUUGUCCUUCAUGAGUUCUUAUGGCAGUCUUUGCUCCUUCAUACAUAUCCUUUAUAGCUUGGAUAUAUGCUACUCGUACUCAUUUCUUCUCUAAAAUCCUCCAAAGAAUGUCUCUUGGGACCCUAUCAUACGCUUUUUCCAAAUCUAUAAAGACCAUGUGUAAAUCCUUUUUCCCAUCUCUAUAUCUUUCCAUCAAUCUUCGUAAGAGAUAGAUUGCCUCCAUGGUUGAGCGCCCUGGCAUGAACCCGAAUUAGUUGUCCGAAACCCGUGUCUCUUGCCUCAAUCUAUGCUCAAUGACUCUCUCCCAGAGCUUCAUUGUAUGACUCAUUAGCUUAAUACCCCUAUAGUUCAUGCAAUUUUGUACGUCACCCUUAUUCUUGUAGAUAGGCACCAAAGUGCUCGUUCGCCACUCAUUUGGCAUCUUCUUCGUUUUCAAAAUCCUAUUGAAAAGGUCAGUGAGCCAUGUUAUACCUGUCUCUCCCAAAAGUUUCCACACUUCGAUUGGUAUAUUGUCUGGGCCUAUUGCUUUUUUAUGCUUCAUCUUCUUCAAAGCUACAACCACUUCUUCCUUCCGGAUUCGACGAUAAAAAGAGUAGUUUCUACACUCUUCUGAGUUACUCAACUCCCCUAAAGAAGCACUCAUUUCAUGUCCUUCAUUGAAAAGAUUAUGAAAAUAACCUCUCCAUCUGUCUUUAACCGCGUUCUCUGUAGCAAGAACCUUUCCAUCCUCAUCCUUGAUGCACCUCACUUGGUUUAGGUCCCUUGUCUUCUUUUCCCUUGCUCUAGCUAGUUUAUAGAUAUCCAACUCUCCUUCUUUGGUAUCUAGUCGUUUAUACAUAUCGUCGUAAGCCGCUAACUUAGCUUCUCUGACAGCUUUCUUCGCCUCUUGCUUCGCUUUUCUAUACCUUUCACCAUUUUCAUCGGUCCUCUCCUUGUAUAAGGCUUUACAACAUUCCUUCUUAGCCUUCACCUUUGUUUGUACCUCCUCAUUCCACCACCAAGAUUCCUUUUGGUGUGGGGCAAAGCCUUUGGACUCUCCUAAUACCUCUUUUGCUACUUUUCGGAUACAACUAGCCAUGGAAUCCCACAUUUGGCUAGCUUCCCCCUCUCUAUCCCACACACAUUGGGUGAUUACCUUCUCUUUGAAAAAUGACUUGUUUUUCUUCUUUUAGAUUCCACCAUCUAGUCCUUGGGCACUUCCAAGUCUUGUUCUUUUGUCUUACUCUUUUGAUAUGUACAUCCAUCACCAACAAGCGAUGUUGAUUAGCCACGCUCUCUCCUGGUAUAACUUUGCAAUCCUUACAAGUUAUACGAUCCCCUUUCCUCAUUAGAAGAAAAUCUAUUUGUGUUUUUUUACGACCCACUCUUGUAGGUGAUCACAUGUUCUUCUCUCUUCUUAAAGAAGGUGUUGGCUAAGAAGAGAUCAUAUGCCAUUGCAAAAUCCAAGAUAGCUUCCCCAUCCUCGUUUCUCUCCCCAAAAUCAUGGCCACCAUGAAAACCUCCAUAGUUGCCUGUCUCCCUGCCCACGUGUCCAUUUAAAUCUCCUCCUAUAAAUAACUUCUCCGUCUGAGCAAUUCCUUGCACCAAGUCUCCAAGAUCUUCCCAAAAUUUCUCCUUCGAACUCGUAUCCAACCCUACUUGAGGUGCGUACGCACUAAUCACAUUGAUAAGUUCUUGUCCUAUUACAAUCUUGAUUGCCAUGAUUCUAUCUCCUACCCUCUUGACAUCUACAACAUCUUGUACCAAGGUCUUGUCCACGAUGAUGCCAACACCAUUUCUCGUUCUAUUUGUGCCCGAAUACCAAAGUUUAAACCCUGAGUUUUCUAGAUCCUUUGCCUUACUACCAACCCACUUAGUUUCUUGUAGGCACAUAAUAUUUAUCCUUCUCCUCACCAUAACUUCCACUACUUCCAUAGAUUUUCCCGUUAAGGUUCCUAUAUUCCACGUUCCUAAACGCAUUUUGCUCUCUUGAACUCUACACUUCUGUCCUAGCUUCUUCACCCUCCCCCGUCUAAUAGGAUCAAAGUACUUCUUUUGUGUGUCCCGGGUAAAGUUGAUAGGAGCAUAUGCUCCCAAACAACUUUGAGUGGAGUCGUUCGAAAAGAAGUUUCUAUGGCCCCCUUGCUCAUUUAACACUGCAUCCGGGUGCCGAUGGAGAUACAGCGACCCUUGCUCGCUUAUCACUGUGCUCGGGCCACACAGCGCGCCACUUACGGGUGACGCCCUAGCUUUAACGCGAUUUUGUUCUGGAUUCAUUUUCAUAAGGAUUCGACGUGAUCAUGGAGUGCCGGCUGUCGACUACCUGACGCCCUCCCCUCUCUCCUUUAUCCGGGCUUGGGACCGGCCAUGUAAGACAUAGGCGGAGUUGAAAACCAAAAUAGGCCAAAUUGAAUUAUUCAUCCUUGUGGUCAUAGGAAACUUGCAUGAUGACCCCGUGAUGAAAAAAUUAGGAAUUAAACCCCUGUGGUCAAGAAUGUUAGAAAAUUUAGUCCAAAAGUAAGAUUUCUGUUAAAUGACUGUUAAAAGUAUGGGUAAAACUGUAUUUUCAGUUCCAAUUGACAUUUAAAAUAAAUAAAUAUUUUUUAUAACAAUUAACAAAAAAAAUAAUGCUUAAUUUUUUAAAUAAAAAAAAGCCCCAAUUCAAUGUCAAUUGAAACUGAAAAUACAGUUUUACUCCAACUUUUAAGUUUUAACAGUCCUUUAACAGAAAUCUUACUUUUGGACUAGAUUUGCUAACAUUUUAGACCAUCGGGAUUUAAUUCCUAGUUUUUUCACCAUAGGGGUCAUCAUGCAAGUGUCCUAUGACCAUGGGAUGAACAAUUCAAUUUGGCCAACCAAAUAACACGAUGCAUAUAUACUUCAUCGACAAAUAUAUAUAUACCGCCACCGCUACUCAGUAGUAUCCUCAUGUACACUGAUCAUGCACUGCCAUCAGAGCAAGCCGAUCUCUGCCUGCUUGUCAAGCCCUUCAACUUUGCCAUUCAUACCCACCGGCACCACGUUCCCCACCGCCCUGUCCACCUUGCCAACCACAUUCCUCUUGGCCACCUUCUUCCCAGCCUUGACCACCUUUGCCUCCCUAGCCACCGCCUUCCCUACCACGUUCCUCUUGGCCACCUUCUUCGGAUUAUACUCGGAUUAUUUCAACAAUAUAAAUUAAUGCAUACUGCUUUUGCCAGUUCCGGAAGUGGAGAGAGCUGUUUACAGCACAUGCUCUGUUGAAGGAUCCAGAAAAUAAUAUUAGGAGGAUCAGUAAGAAUAAUACGCAAUAUUUUUUACCAAAAAUAGCAUGCAUAUCGCUAUUUCAUCGAGUCUUAGGUCGUCUAAGAUCAUUUAGAAAUGAAUGCCCCCUCAUUUACGAGAGUAACUAACAUCUUCUAAGACUGCUCCCAUAUAAAUGCUUAACAAAAAAACACACUAACAAUGUUUGAUACCAUUACAUCCCAUUAAUAUAUUUAUCUAAGAAUAAUGAUGUUUUGUUAUUCACUGAGAUGAUCAUUUCAUUCACUCUUCUUUCAGACAUUUUAUCAAAUAGUUAGAGAGCAUGAAUGAAGCCAACUUUAAUCUUCAAAAAGGCACACUGAAAUUCGAAGCAUCAGCACCUAAGAUGUACCCAUGAACGUUCAUCGAAGUUGGAGAGGUCAGCUGACCCCUGUGCAUCCGCCACUGCUGUGAACUAAGUCGGAAACGAAGAUGUCAUUAAAUCUGUGCCACCACUUGCCGCAUCCAAUGGUUUCCAACUAGAAACUCCCUUCCCGGAAUGGCACGGCCGUGGUGUCCCCAGUGUCGAGGGCGGUAAGUGGCAUGCUUAAAUCUUGACAAAAUGUUGAGAUAUUGGUAUCUCAACAUUGCUCUGUUUUCUAGGUCCGGCGAUGAAUCAGAAGCGCCUAACGGAACCGGCAUAGGCUCAAACAGAACCUCGAAGAGGCUGAGGAAUUACGCAGUGCCUCAUCCCAAUCUGUUUAAAAUGCUAACACACGGAACAACGUAUAUGGCGUAAUUCCAAACACACAUAUUACGAACUUUGUUUGAUUACGUUCGUAAAAUGCUCGGUUAUUCGAGUUAUUUGUUCCGUUGAUUCGCGUUUUUGAAGCCAAUUUUAUGAUAACAUAAACAAAAAUGGAAAUAAAACACAUAAUAUGCUUCAUUGAUCUGAAAAACCAACAAGCUUAUAAUACCACAACACAAACAUAACAAACACAUCCAGAAAACACCAACGAAGCCCUAAAAUCCACACACAAACCCUUAUGUUUUAUAAUCCCUGCACGAUUAUUCUCAUAACCCAAAUCACAGAAACAGUUUCAAGCAAUCUUGACCUCGAUUGUCUUCGGCUUCUUCGGCUCCGGCGGCGGCAGCUUCUGCACCGUGACAGUCAAAACCCCAUCCUGGCAAACAGCAGAAAUCGCAUCCACGUUCGCGUUCUCCGGCAACACAAACUUCCUCAUGAACUUGCCGACCCUCCGCUCCAUCCUCACGUACUUAGCCCCUUCUCUCUACAGAAGCAUCAAACUAAUGUAGUUUAGAUGUCCAUAUCUUCUAUGCCACAACUGAGAUGACUCUUCAACAGUUGCUCUAUUAGCCAUGUGAGGAUUAACAUAUUCCAAACUUAAUGGAAAGCAUCUGUUUCCUUUCAUUGGAACACUUGCAAUCAGAUCUUCCAUCUGUCUAUCUCCAUAAAUAUCAACCAUGUAAUCACCAAAACACAAGCCAAUGUCCAUGUUCUACCAUCUGCCUUACACUCAAUAAGUUUUUCAUCCAAUCUAGGUACAAUCAUAACUUCUUUAAUAUACCUAGUCACACCUUUCAUCUCAAUCACCAAUGUGCCUUUGCCUAUUGACUGCACUAAAUCUCCAGUGCCCAUUUUAACUCUACACUUCACAUUCUUAUCAACAUCAAUAAGCAAGGAUUCAUGGGAGGUCAUAUGAUUGCUACAUGCACUAUCUACAUACCAUAUAUUCAUACUUCUUCCAAUAGUAGCAGAAUGGCAGGCAUAAAACAUGGUUGCAUAUUCUAUUACCUGAUUCACAUAGUUUACAAGUUUUCCAGACUUGUUUGGUUGAUCACAAUCCUUGAUGAAAUGACCGAAACGAUUGCAUCCAUGACAUUUCGGCUUCCCUUUAAACCAGCACUCACCAUAGUGCAGUUUAUCACAAUGCUUGUAUUUUCCCUUAGACUGAUCAGAUUUUCCUCCUUGAUCAUAUUUGCCACCUCGAUUAGCAAGAUUCUGAGGUUUAGGAUCCCAUUUCUUUCCUUUUGAUUUCCAAUCCUUCUUUGGUUUAGAAUUACCAAACGAGAGAUUUGGUUGGGUUCCUUUUGAAUUCAGAUUCAGAGUACUGAAAGCUCUUUCAAUGGUACUCUCAGCAUGCCUAUCAAGGCGUUGUGCAAACCCUCUUAAUGCUGCAAUCACCUCUUGUACCUCAAUAGUUUCAAUAUCCUUGGUUUGUUCAAUUACAUAACAAACAGGAUCAAACUCCUUAGUUAAGCUUAUGAGCAAUUUCUGAACUAAUCGUUCUCUGGGUAAAUCUUCCCCAUAACCCUUCAUCUGAUUUACCAACUCGAGAAGACGAGUGAGAUACAUAGACAGAGUUUCAUCAUCCUUCAUCCUUGUGUACUCGAAAUCACGGCGUAGACCCUGCAACUUGAUGGAUCUCACUUGCUUAUCACCAUGAAAUUCCUGAUGUAGGAUAUCCCAAGCACCCUUUGAGGUCUCUUCGUUUGAGAUUCUGGGAAAGAUGUCAUCCGAGACAGCUCCUUGGAUUAUACCCAGUGCCUUAGCAUCCUUCAUUAGCUUGUCGCUCAGAGAAACUCUCUCUGACUCCGAUGAGCCUUCAUCUCCAAUCUUCUUAUCCUUCGAUUAUGAAAUUUCAAACCCCUUUUCAAACUAAAUCCCAGAUUCCAUGUGAUUUGAAAAUAGUUCUCAUUCGAAUCUUCCAAAAUUCAUAGUUGUCACCAUUGAAUAUUGGAGCCCGAAGAUCACUACCACCAGAUCCAGCCAUUUGAGACUUGAAUCGACAAAACUGAGUUGGAAAUUUCACGUUGGAUUUCCAAGCACAGCACUCACAGAUCUUACGCCCCGAUUCCAGAUAGAACCUGUGCUCUAGAUACCAUGUUAAGUUUUUAGUAAGCUGAUAUAUUCAGGAAUUGGAUUUUAAAGGAAGCUGAAAAGACAGAGAGGGUGAGAGGCAAGGUUUUUCACAACUGCAACUCUGUUACUAUGCAGAGAGCAACAUUUCAUUCAUAUACAUUCCUUUCUUUUACAUCAGACAUCAUAAUAUCCGUUCAAUUACACGAGUCAAUGUGAUUUUUGACACAUGGCAGAACAAAGCAUAUGAGCCAUUGAAAAAGAGUCUUGAUCUAAGACCAUACACUUGGCAUAUGAGCACAAGUUAUCACAUCAUAAAACAGCUACUCAAUAGAACAAAGAUAAAAUAGAUAAGUAAAUCAUUUACUAACUUGAAAUUAGUAAGCAAUUUACUUUUCAACAAUCACUAGCUAAGUCACCAAUCAAGGCAUAUGGAAUAUGACUAAUUUAAUUAAGAAGACCAUGUGAGUCCCACUUUGAUUGGUUGUUUAUUUUUCUAUCUUCUGAUAUGAUAUGUUUCUUGUCUUAGUAGAGUCAUGUUUUGAUCCAUCUCUCAUUUUUCUUAAUUAAAUUAUUAUCAAGUUUAUAUUAAUUGCGCCUAAACCACAUAUAUAUGAUAGUGCCUUAUGACUAUAUGAGAUACUAAUUAAUAUGAUUAGGUUUCUCUUUGGUGGUAGUGGUAUAAAAGCUUAUAUGAAUGAAUUCCCGUAACCUAAUACUGCUAAUCAUAUAAGUGGAGAAUAUAUAUAGUUGAUAUAUAUUUCAUGAACUAAUACAAGCAAAUGUAAUUAAUGCUAGUGACAUGUAUUAAUUGGCAAAAGUUUUUUACAUGCAUCAACUGUUAAGAGUUGUCAGAGAUUGCAAUAAGACAGAGCCUAAUAUUCUUCUCCAGCUAGAUAUAUUGUUUCUUAGCAUAAGAAUGUGAACAUGAUAUUCCACACAAAUAACGCCCCAUAUGAUAAGAGCAUCUUAGUAAAAUAGGCCAAUUUUUUAUGUCAUGUAGGCAAAAACAUGCUCAACUGGGUGUAGUUAAUUGGGUAGGCAAAUUUUACCCACUUCAACACUGCCCUACUUUCAACAUUAUAGGUAAAUUGGGUUUAACGUCUCUAUUUAUAGUAGAGUAUUUCAUGUGGACGAAGAAGAUAAAUUAAAAUAUAAAAGAUGAAAAAAAUAGUAAAUAAAAUUUUGUCUACUUAAUCUAUUACUUAUUUUAUUAGAGUAACACAUUUCAUAAAAUAAUUGUAAUACAUUUUUAUUUGAUUUGGCGUCAUUGGAAAGUGCGUGAAGGAUUUGAGCUUCUUCUCUACACUUCCAUGGGGCCAGGAAUACGUGCUGUAUAUUUUAUUACCGUCAUAUCAUCAAAAGAUCAAAAAAUAUAUAUGUGUUCUUACAAGUUUUACCAAAAGAAAUGGGAGUAGUGACGUCAGAUUUGUGUAGUUGCUUCUGCUCAAUGCGAUCUGCCAAAGUCGGAUGUACGUCAAACAACACAAUCUUCGCCUCUGAGUUGGGCCAAACUGCUUUUCUGCAACUGGAAGCUUCCUUUUUCGGCGUUUAGCUUUUACAAGUGGCAAAGUGUAGAAGCCAUUCCAGUUUUGACUAAAAAGUGGUUUUCAAUUUUACUAUUUUAGCGGGUUUCGGUUUUACGUUUACUUUGCGGCUUCUAGGGUUUCUUGCUUUUUACUGCCACAAGUGUAAUUGAUUAGGCUGUGUCGGAUUUUUACAGCUAACUAUGAUUAGGAGAAAGAUUAAGCGUAAAAAAAUGUUGUAAAUUUUGCCUUGUUUAUAACCCAGGAAAGAUUUGCUUUGCUUUUUUUAACAUGGAAUAUUGAUAUGUAUUUAAUUAACUACAUGAUAUUGAUACGUAUCCUUUUUAACUUAUCUCUACGCUUUGGUAUAAAUUGAACCAAUCAGAGGAGAAUGAAAACAUGAAAAUUGAUACCUUUUUUUUCAUUUUUGCCUUUAAUCAUGUUUUCGGCUUUUGCUUAUUAUAGUAUGUGGAUUCUAUGUCCAAUCCCACCCAAAAGAAUAGUAAUUGUGCUGCAUAAAUUGGCAUAUAGCGAAGCCCAAUCCAGUACAUACUAAUAAUUGGGUUCUAGCCCAAGCCUUGAAAAACAAUUUCAGGGGAGGAGUUAUAAGCAUAUACUAAUGUGAGAGACCAAGGAAUUAACAUUUGUUAUUCAUCAGUUCAAAUAUGUAUGAGAUGGAUAACCAUAUGAGUAUGUACAUCUAUCUACAUCUAUCACAAAAAUUGAUCGCAUAUCGUAUUGCAGAUGAGUUCUGCCUCCAUUACAGAUGUGGUUUUUUAUGUUCUCACCGCCGAACAAGUAGUUUGUGUUUGGGUUAAAACUUAAACUUUGGGCUUAAAAGGGAGUUGGCCCAAAAGGAGGAGAGAAGCCCGAAGCCUAGCCGAAUCCCAGGAGGCCGAAGAGGCCCUUUUCUGACUAGGUGCAGACCAUGUGAACCACUUGCUCACCUACCCAAAGACCAAAUGGUAUAGACCAGCCAGCUAAUCAGCCCAAAAGUACUUUACAAUGACAGUACAAGUAAAUAGCUGAUGAGUCACUACCCUUCAAGAUGCAUUCGGGCAGGAUUACUGCUACAGGAGGCCAAGCCGAAGUGUCUAUAAAAGAAGAAAGAGAAAUCAGAGUUAAGGACACUCAAUCAAACAAACAAAUACAAGCACAAACUCUGCUCAAAACCCUUUGUGAUAGCUCUGCUACCUUGUCCUAAGCUUGCUGUAGUAUCGAUUUCUUUCUGUAAACUCAUCUCCCUACCCCCAUUUCUAAAAGCUCAAACCCCUUGAUAAACCACAAAGAUAGGAAAUUGCAAGACGAUUAGCCUUACCCGACAAGGUUAAACCUUGCCUGAACCUCUUUGUUUUUGUCUUGUCAUUCAUUAGCCUAGCAAUAUGUUGUAUACUUCCAGUUGUAUUCAAGUUAUUUCUCGUAAGAUGACUAUUAAAAGACUCUCUCAGUGCUGGAAUCCAAUUUGAAUAUGUCUUCACAGUUCAAACCAGAUCUAAGUUCUAAGCUCUCGGGCAUGUAAAAUUGAUCAUUUAAAAGUCCUUGGUCUCAAGGCAGAAAAAAAACCUUAUGUGGACUUAACCCAUCCACGACAAGCUUUGAUAACAAGAAGUCCGAAGUUACUUGGGGUGCAAGUAAUCGAUUUAUUUCUUAGUUUUAUUUCUAUUACAUUAUGAUUAUAGUAGAACGUUUGAGUAUAGAAGGAAUUCUGAUGGGAAGCCUCAAGGCCUAUAUCUGAGGCCAUACAAAGGCAUCUAUUUGUAUUCAUUCUGCUCUACGGGUUCAGAUAAUCAGAAGUAUAAUGGUUAUAACACUUCUGCAAACAAUAAAACAGGCAUCGUAUAUUCGAGUACUGGGUUAGUUCUUGAUCGGAAGCCUCAAGGCCUACAUCUAAGGCCCCACAAAGGCACCCGUCAUAACUAACACGGUCGCUCGGGUAUAUGUGCAACUAAAAUUCAACAUCCAUUUUACAUCGGCCAUGCUAAAGAUAGCAGUGGCACGCCUGAGCACUUAAAAGUUAAUCUUGAUUGUGAGCCUUAAGGCCUACACCUAAGGCCCCACAANNNNNNNNNNNNNNNNNNNNNNNNNNNNNNNNNNNNNNNNNNNNNNNNNNNNNNNNNNNNNNNNNNNNNNNNNNNNNNNNNNNNNNNNNNNNNNNNNNNNNNNNNNNNNNNNNNNNNNNNNNNNNNNNNNNNNNNNNNNNNNNNNNNNNNNNNNNNNNNNNNNNNNNNNNNNNNNNNNNNNNNNNNNNNNNNNNNNNNNNNNNNNNNNNNNNNNNNNNNNNNNNNNNNNNNNNNNNNNNNNNNNNNNNNNNNNNNNNNNNNNNNNNNNNNNNNNNNNNNNNNNNNNNNNNNNNNNNNNNNNNNNNNNNNNNNNNNNNNNNNNNNNNNNNNNNNNNNNNNNNNNNNNNNNNNNNNNNNNNNNNNNNNNNNNNNNNNNNNNNNNNNNNNNNNNNNNNNNNNNNNNNNNNNNNNNNNNNNNNNNNNNNNNNNNNNNNNNNNNNNNNNNNNNNNNNNNNNNNNNNNNNNNNNNNNNNNNNNNNNNNNNNNNNNNNNNNNNNNNNUGGAAGAGGUGAAUGUCGGUUAACCUUACGCCCAUUUUAUGGAGAGGCUGCUCCCAAGUCUCGAACCCGAGACCUACCGCUCAUGAACCAGAAAUAGUAUGCAUAUCAUUAUUUAAUCGAGUCUUGGUAAACCUGAAGUCAUUUGGAAAAACAUAUUGCAAACCUAUUAAUGCCCCAUUUACGUGAGUAACUAACAUGUUCCAAAGCUACUUCCAUAUGAAUGCUUAACAAAAAAACAAACUUAUCUUGAACGCACUAAAAAUGUUUGAUAUCAUUGCAUCUCAUUAAUAUGGUUGUCCAAGAAUGAUAAUGUUUUGUUAUUUAUUGAGAUCACCAUUUCAUUCACUCUUCAUUCACAUUCUAUCAAACAAUUGGAAGACAUGGAUGGAACCAACUCUAAUCUUAAAAAUAGCAACAUCAAGGUAUCCAUGAAUAUACACUAAAGCUCGGAAGAUCGACACUCAAAGUAUCCAUAAACGUUCACCGAAGUUCGAAGGGUUAGCUGACCCCCUACCCCUCAAUGCAUCCGCCACUACUGUCAACCAAGUCGGAAACGAAGAUGUCAUUAAAUCUGUGCCACCACUUGCUGCAUCCAAUGGUUUCCAACUAGAAACUCCCUUCCCGGAAUGGCACCGCCGUGGUGUCCUCAGUGUCAGUGGCAUCCUUAAAUCUUGACAAAAAUGUUGAGAUAUUGGUAUCUCAACAUUGCUCUGUUUUCUAGGUCCGGCGACCAAUCAGAGGCGCCUAACGGAACCGGCAUAGGCUCGAACAGAACCUCAAAGAGGCAGAGAAAUUAUGCAGUACCUCAUCUCAAUCUGUUUAAACUUUAAAAUGCUGACACACGGAACAAAGUAUAUGGUGUAAUUCCAAACACACUCAUAUUACGAACUCUGUUUGAUUACGUUCGUAAAAUGCUCGGUUAUUCGAGUUAUUUGUUCCGUUGAUUCGCGUUUUUGAAGCCAAUUUUAUGAUAACAUAAACAAAAAUGGAAAUAAAACACAUAAUAUGCUUCAUUGAUCUGAAAAACCAACAAGCUUAUAAUACCACAACACAAACAUAACAAACACAUCCAGAAUACACCAACGAAGCCCUAAAAUCCACACACAAACCCUUAUGUUAUAAUCCCUGCACGAUUAUUCUCAUAACCCAAAUCACAGAAACAGUUUCAAGCAAUCUUGACCUCGAUUGUCUUCGGCUUCUUCGGCUCCGGCGGCGGCAGCUUCUGCACUGUGACAGUCAAAAACCCCAUCCUGGCAAACAGCAGAAAUCGCAUCCACAUUAGCAUUCUCCGGCAACACAAACUUCCUCAUGAACUUGCCGACCCUCCGCUCCAUCCUCACGUACUUAGCCCCUUCCUUCUCCUCCUCCCGCUUCCUCUCGCCGCUGAUCAGAAGCACAUUGUCGUCCUCCACCUGGACCUUGAUGUCCCCGGACUUCAGUCCCGGCAUGUCCACCACGAACACGUAGGAGGUCGGGUACUCCUUGACGUCUGCCGGCGUGGAGGCCAUGGCCUUGGCGUCGCGGAAGUAGGUCCGGGUGGGGGCGUUGAAGGAUUUCUCGGCGUCGUCGGCGGCGUCGAUGAUGUGCUGAAGUGUGGAGAAGAGCGGGGCAUCCAAACCCUGGAUUCUGACAUCCAUUCUUCCCUUCUUGGUGGGUGGAAUUUUUGCUUUUCGGUUUUGAUUUGAAGGCUUUUGUGAGUUUUCGAGUGGGAAUCUCGUCGCUGUUACGGAGGGGAGUAGUGGUUGUGGGUAUUUAUAGGAGGAGUUGAGGGAGGACGGGGGUUAGCGGGGAGGGAAAAUGAAUGUUCUGGAGAAACGUGGAAGGAAGGGAGGAGGUUCCAGUAGGUCCCAUUUCUUCUGUGAGCGUCUAGAACAUUCUGGAAGCGUUUACUAGGUAGGGGCAGGGCCCCUAUAGCCAUUUAUGAGAUAUUUUGUUGGGAAAGAACCAAAAAGCUAAAAUAGAUAACAGUACUAAAUUAAAAGAUAAUCACCAAAAAGCAAAAGAGAAAAAUGUGACGAAGAUAAUCGUGCACUUAAUUUUGUUAUGUGAAGAAACAAACGAAAAUUAAUUCGAUAAAUCGACGGCUAGAGGUAUUCUCCCUGUUUGGUUCAAUCAUUUAGGGCACUUUUCAAAUUACAUAGAUAAUGAGUUAAAUGACUAGUUUGAUUAACAUUUCAUAAAUAAUAUAACAAUGGUCAAUCUACUGGGACGAACACUUCAUAAAUAAUGUAACAAUGGUCAAUCUAAUGAUAUUCUUGGUGACGAAUUGAGAAUAUAUUAAAUAUGAGCCACCAAAAGACAAGUAAAUUCCUAGUAGCACCACUUUUUAAAUUAUUAAAUAAUAUUAUUAUUAGAAAAAAAAGUAAACUCUAAAAUAAGGUUAUCAAUUGGUACACAAAUAAGAGCUCGUUUUGAUGUGCUUUUAAAAUAAUUGAAAAUACUUUUAAAGAAAAUAUUUGUAGGUUCCAAAAGCACUUAAGUGUUUUCUACAAAAAUAACCAUUUAUGUGCUUCUUUCAAGAAGCACUUUAUGUGCUUUUCUAAGAUUUACUACUAUUUUUACUAAGGAUUGUUUCCAAAAAAUAUUUUCACUAAAAGCGCUUUCAGUCAUUUUAAAAACAUAUCCAAACGAAUCCCAAGUUAUUAAAAAUGCUGGUUUUAUAUCCAAAUUGGAAGAUUACAAUAUAUAUCUGAAGUCAAGACGGCACCCACCUUCCUUUCCUUCUUUUUCUUUUUAUAUGAAAGACCAAAAUGAAAAACAGAAACAAAGCAUACAAAUUUACAGCAAACACAGAAAACCAAAUAGGCCAACAACAACAAAACAACAACAACAAAGCCUUUUCCCACUAAGUGGGGUCGGCUAUAUGAAUCCUAGAACGCCAUUGCGCUCGGUUUUGUGUCAUGUCCUCCGUUAGAUCCAAGUACUCUAAGUCUUUUCUUAGAGUCUCUUCCAAAGUUUUCCUAGGUCUUCCUCUAUCCCUUCGGCCCUGAACAUCUGUCCCGUAGUCACAUCUUCGAACCGGAGCGUCAGUCGGCCUUCUUUGCACAUGUCCAAAUCACCGGAGCCGAUUUUCUCUCAUCUUUCCUACAAUUUCGGCUACUCCUACUUUACCUCGGAUAUCCUCAUUCCCAAUCUUAUCCUUUCUCGUGUGCCCACACAUCCCACAAAGCAUCCUUAUCUCCGCUACACCCAUUUUGUGUACGUGUUGAUGUUUCACCGCCCAACAUUCUGUGCCAUACAACAUCGCUGGCCUUAUUGCUGUCCUAUAAAAUUUUCCCUUGAGCUUCAGUGGCCUACGACAGUCACACAACACGCCGGAUGCACUCUUACACUUCAUCCAUCCAGCUCGUAUUCUAUGGUUGAGAUCUCCAUCUAAUUCUCCGUUCUCUUGCAAGAUAGAUCCUAGGUAGCGAAAACGGUCGCUUUUUGUGAUCUUCGCUAGAUUGCUCCGGUCAUUAGUGUGGAUAAGUAUAUAAAUGGAUAGAGAUAGGAAAGCAAACACAAGAUGUACGUGCUUCACCCAGAUUGGCUACGUCCACGUAAUAGAAGAGUUCUCAUUAAUUGUGAAGGGUUUACACAAGUACAUAGGUUCAAACUCUCCUUUAGUGAGUACAAGUGAAUGAUUUAGUACAAAUGACAUUAGGAAAUAUUGUGGGAGAAUGAUCUCGUAAUCACGAAACUUCUAAGUAUCGGAGUGUGGUGUCGUCUUGACUUGCCUUAUCUGUCUCAUAGGUAGAUGUGGCAUCUUCUCUGGAAGUACUCUUCCUCCAUCCAGGGGUGGUAUCUUUAACUGGUGGAGAUGCACAAGGUAAUGUAUCAAUUUCACUUGAAGCUUACUUGUAGUUUCAGGCUUGGUCAAGCGCGAUACAAACCAUGUAGUAGGAGUCCCCCAAGUCGCCGAGCUAGGGGGUCUGCUGAAAGAGGUGACAGACAAGGUAAGCAAUCAGAGCUCCGACUAAUUGUUCACCUUCUCCCCAUCUUGCAGCAGCAUGAAGGAUAAAGAGAAGAAAAAUGAGAAGAGAUGAUAUGAGAUACUUUUGCUUUUGAAGAAGUAACUUUCCACAGGCUUAUUCUUAAACUGAGCUGGAGGGUUUUCUGGUUUCCUCCAGAGUAUAAGGCCGACUGAAGAAUUUGAGGGUCAAAACAAGUCCAUCAAAUCUAGAGUACGUUCCACCCUGCUGAUAUGGGAUACUUUUGCUUUUGACAGAGUAAUGGAUGUAUCGGCACGUGUGCUGUUACGCUUGUCUCCACAUGCUUCCUUGUAUCCUUCGCACUUGCCCUAUCUGUUCCUCAAGCAGAUGCGGAAUCUUCCCUGGAAACAUAAGAUGUUGAAGAUGAGUACUCGAGAGCAAUGCCAGGUAAGUAAUCAGGUAAGGGGUUCCAGGCAGUCAGUUCCUGGCUGGAAGCUUGAUUCCAAGUGCUGACUGAUUGCUCUCUUUCUCCUUGUCUUGCAGGUAAAAAACAAGGCCAAAGGAAAAGACAGGGAAAAAGCAUGAUAUGGGAUACUCUUGCUUUUAACCCUGAUGAUAUGAGAUAUUCUUGCUCUAGUAUAGCUUGUUUGCAGAGGUAUUAUCGGGGGGAAAGAAAGCUGAAUAUUUCGAAAGGCUUCGUUGGGAGUGCCCUCUCAGAUAUGAUGAAGGGUUGAGCAUUUUUGCAAGUCUGCCUGUCCGUUGGGGAUGGAGGUCGACAUAUAUAGGAGUCUCCCUAACAACAAGUAGUAAUGCUAUUCCUUUACCCUGCUUGGUCAUAGCACGGUAGUGGGAGCUGCCAGUUUCACAUGUUUUAACUCUGUCAGAGCACUUUGAAAAAGUGGUCUGUGGUAUCUGGCUCUCGAGAUUCGAAGAACGAUGCCUCUUCGAUUUUUGAGAAAGCAAUCAUGCUGGGGGUCUAGCUCUCGAGAUUCGGAGAGCAGUGUCUCUUCGAUUUUUGAGGAAGUAAUCAUGUUAGGAGUCUGGCUCUCGAGAUUCGGAGGGCGGUGCCUCUUCGAUUUUGGAGCAAGCAAUCUUGUUGGGAGUGUUGUCUCGAAUGUGAGUAAAGGUUGGGCAUGUUUGCUAGUCUACCUUGCCCCGAAGCACAAAGGUUGACACACAGGGACUUUCCAAUUAUCCUAGCAAUGGUACUGUUCCUUUACCCUCUCUUCGCUUUUGAGAAAGUAGUCAUGUUGGGAGUCUGGCUCUCGAGAUUCGGAGGACGGUGCCUCUUCGAUUUUGGAGCAAGCAAUCUUGUUGGGAGUGUUUUCUCGAAUGUGAGUAAAGGUUGGGCAUGUUUGCUAGUCUACCUUGCCACGAAGCACAGAGGUUGACACACAGGGAACUUUCCAAUUAUCCAGCAGUGGUACUGUUCCUUUACCCUUGUGGGUAAUAAUAUGGUAGCUAGACCUUCAAAAUUUAUGUGUCUAAACUUUGUUAGUGCUGUUUCUUUGCUAUUCUUUUACCUUUCUUGGUCAGAGCGAUGUAGUGGGAGCUGCAAGCUUCACGUGCUCAACUUUGGCAGAGAACUUUGGCAAAGUUAUCUGUGGUACCCAUGAGCUAUUGUUGCGUGUGGGAAGUGGGUGAUUGAACAGUAAGAUUCAUGUGCUUUCUACUUCACCAGAAGUCUUCGACAGAAUGCCCAUAAUUUCUGCAAAGCUGAGUGUGCGUGUGACAGGUGCUGACAAGGCUAGAAAAGUAGGUGCCUCUUCGAUUUCUGAGAUCGGCCCUCGUGGUCUCUGAGCAGCCCAGCUUUUGAGAAAGCGAGCGCCUCUUCGAUUGAUUCGGAGAACGAUGCCUCAUCGAUUUUUGAGAAAGCAAUCAUGCUGGGGGUCUGGCUCUCGAAGAUUCGGGGAGCAGUGUCUCUUCGAUUUUUGAGAAAGUAAUCAUGUUGGGAGUCUGGCUCUCGAGAUUCGGAGGGCGGUGCCUCUUCGAUUUUGGAGCAAGCAAUCUUGUUGGGAGUGUUUUCUCGAAUGUGAGUAAAGGUUGGGCAUGUUUGCUAGUCUACCUUGCUACGAAGCACAGAGGUUGACACACAGGGACUUUCCAAUUAUCCAGCAAUGGUACUGUUCCUUUACCCUCUCUUCGAUUUUUAAGAAAGUAGUCAUGUUGGGAGUCUGGCUCUCGAGAUUCGGAGGACGGUGCCUCUUCGAUUUUGGAGCAAGCAAUCUUAUUGGGAGUGUUUUCUCGAAUGUGAGUAAAGGUUGGGCAUGUUUGCUAGUCUACCUUGCCACGAAGCACAGAGGUUGACACACAGGGACUUUCCAAUUAUCCAGCAGUGGUACUGUUCCUUUACCCUUGUGGGUAAUAAUAUGGUAGCUAGACCUUCAAAAUUUAUGGGUCUAAACUUUGUUAGUGCUGUUUCUUUGCUAUUCUUUUACCCUUCUUGGUCAGAGCGAUGUAGUGGGAGCUGCAAGCUUCACGUGCUCAACUUUGGCAGAGAACUUUGGCAAAGUUAUCUGUGGUACCCAUGAGCUAUUGUUGCGUGUGGGAAGUGGGUGAUUGAACAGUAAGAUUCAUGUGUUUUCUACUUCACCAGAAGUCUUCGACAGAAUGCCCAUAAUUUCCGCAAAGCUGAGUGUGCGUGUGACAGGUGCUGACAAGGCUGGAAAAGUAGGUGCCUCUUCGAUUUCUGAGAUCGGCCCUCGUGGUCUCUAGGGAGCCCAGCUUUUGAGAAAGCGAGCGCCUCUUCGAUUUCUGAGAUCGGACCUUGUGGUCUUUGAGCAGCCCAACUUUUGAGAAAGCAAACGCCUCUUCGAUUUCUGAGAUCAACCCUCGUGAUCUCUAAGCAGCCCAGCUUUUGAGAAAGCAAACGCCUCUUCGAUUUCUGAGUAGGCGCCUCUUCGAUUUCUGAAGCUCCGUCGAGUGCAGAUUUUUAUAGGGGCUGGCAUUAAGUUCCAAAGCACACUUGAAUCUCCACCAGUAGAAGCUUCAUUCUUGCACUUCUAAGAUCUUGAUUUGUCCGACCUCUUCUCUCUUCAACACCUUUGAAAAUGUCUGGCCCCUCCGACCGUCGUUUUGACUUGAACCUUGUUGAAGAGGCAGCCCCGCCUUCUCCAGACAACAUAUGGCGCCCAUCCUUCGUCUCCCCUACUGGUCCUCUUACCGUUGGGGAUUCCGUGAUGAAGAAUGAUAUGACCGCUGCGGUGGUGGCCAGGAACCUUCUCACUCCCAAAGAUAACAGACUACUUUCCAAACGGUCUGAUGAGUUAGCUGUUAAGGAUUCGCUGGCUCUCAGUGUUCAGUGUGCAGGUUCUGUGUCUAAUAUGGCCCAACGCCUAUUUGCUCGAACCCGCCAAGUUGAAUCAUUGGCGGCUGAAGUGAUGAGUCUCAAACAGGAGAUUAGAGGGCUCAAGCAUGAGAAUAAACAGUUGCACCGGCUCGCACAUGACUAUGCUACAAACAUGAAGAGGAAGCUUGACCAGAUGAAGGAAACUGAUGGUCAGGUUUUACUUGAUCAUCAGAGAUUUGUGGGUUUGUUCCAAAGGCAUUUAUUGCCUUCGUCUUCUGGGGCUGUACCGCGUAAUGAAGCUCCAAAUGAUCAACCUCUGAUGCCUCCAUCCUUCUAGGGUUCUGUCCAGUACUGAGGACUCCAAAUGAUCCCCCUCCGGUGCCUUCUCUUUCUGGGGCUCUACCGACUGCUGAGACUUCUCCUAAGCAACCUUUGUGAAGGCUCCCUCUUGUGUGUUUAUUUUGACUCAUGUAUAUGUACAUAUUUGUAGCUUAUCGGGGAUAUCAAUAAAUAAGCUUUCCUUCAUUUCAACGUAUUGUGUUAAAUACACCAAAGCCUUCUUCGCUAAGUUCUUUGAAUUUUCUUUUGUUGAAGCUUGUAUGUUGAAGCUUUCUGAGUGGAGCAUGUAGGUUGGGGUAGUGUUCCCUUAAUUUCCGAGUGAGUGAGGAAAACUUCUCGGUUGGAGACUUGGAAAAUCCAAGUCACUGAGUGGGAUCGGCUAUAUGAAUCUUAGAACGCCAUUGUGCUCGAUCCUGUGUCAUGUCCUUCGUUAGAUCCAAGUACUCUAAGUCUUUUCUUAGAGUCUCUUCCAAAGUUUUCCUAGGUCUUCCUCUACCCCUUCGGCCCUGAACCUCUGUCCCAUAGUCGCAUCUUCUAAUCGGAGCGUCAGUAGGCCUUCUUUGCACAUGUCCAAACCACCGUAACCGAUUUUCUCUCAUCUUUCCUUCAAUUUCGGCUACUCCUACUUUACCCCGGAUAUCCUCAUUCCUAAUCUUAUCCUUUCUCGUGUGCCCACACAUCCAACGAAGCAUCCUCAUCUCCGCUACACCCAUUUUGUGUACGUGUUGAUGUUUCACCGCCCAACAUUCUGUGCCAUACAGCAUCGCCGGCCUUAUUGCCGUCCUAUAAAAUUUUCCCUUGAGCUUCAGUGGCAUACGGCGGUCACACAACACGCCGGAUGCACUCUUCCACUUCAUUCAUCCAGCUUGUAUUCUAUGGUUGAGAUCUCCAUCUAAUUCUCCGUUCUUUUGCAAGAUAGAUCCUAGGUAACGAAAACGGUCGCUCUUUGGUAUUUCUUGAUCUCCGAUCCUCACCCCUAACUCGUUUUGGCCUCCAUUUGCACUGAACUUGCACUCCAUAUAUUCUGUCUUUGAUCGGCUUAGGCGAAGACCUUUAGAUUCCAACACUUCUCUCCAAAGGUUAAGCUUUGCAUUUACCCCUUCUUGAGUUUCAUCUAUCAACACUAUAUCGUCUGCGAAAAGCAUACACCAAAGGAAUAUCAUCUUGAAUAUGUCCUGUUAACUCAUCCAUUACCAACGCAAAAAGGUAAGGACUUAAGGAUGAGCCUUGAUGUAAUCCUACAGUUAUGGGAAAGCUUUCGGUUUGUCCUUCAUGAGUUCUUACGGCAGUCUUUGCUCCUUCAUACAUAUCCUUUAUAGCUUGGAUAUAUGCUACUCGUACUCCAUUUCUUCUCUAAAAUCCUCCAAAGAAUGUCUCUUGGGACCCUAUCAUACGCUUUUUCCAAAUCUAUAAAGACCAUGUGUAAAUCCUUUUUCCCAUCUCUAUAUCUUUCCAUCAAUCUUCGUAAGAGAUAGAUUGCCUCCAUGGUUGAGCGCCCUGGCAUGAACCCGAAUUGGUUGUCCGAAACCCGUGUCUCUUGCCUCAAUCUAUGCUCAAUGACUCUCUCCCAGAGCUUCAUUGUAUGACUCAUUAGCUUAAUACCCCUAUAGUUCAUGCAAUUUUGUACGUCGCCCUUAUUCUUGUAGAUAGGCACCAAAGUGCUCGUUCGCCACUCAUUUGGCAUCUUCUUCGUUUUCAAAAUCCUAUUGAAAAGGUCAGUGAGCCAUGUUAUACCUGUCUCUCCCAAAAGUUUCCACACUUCGAUUGGUAUAUUGUCUGGGCCUAUUGCUUUUUUAUGCUUCAUCUUCUUCAAAGCUACAACCACUUCUUCCUUCCGGAUUCGACGAUAAAAAGAGUAGUUUCUACACUCUUCUGAGUUACUCAACUCCCCUAAAGAAGCACUCAUUUCAUGUCCUUCAUUGAAAAGAUUAUGAAAAUAACCUCUCCAUCUGUCUUUAACCGCGUUCUCUGUAGCAAGAACCUUUCCAUCCUCAUCCUUGAUGCACCUCACUUGGUUUAGGUCCCUUGUCUUCUUUUCCCUUGCUCUAGAUAGUUUAUAGAUAUCCAACUCUCCUUCUUUGGUAUCUAGUCGUUUAUACAUAUCGUCGUAAGCCGCUAACUUAGCUUCUCUGACAGCUUUCUUCGCCUCUUGCUUCGCUUUUCUAUACCUUUCACCAUUUUCAUCGGUCCUCUCCUUGUAUAAGGCUUUACAACAUUCCUUCUUAGCCUUCACCUUUGUUUGUACCUCCUCAUUCCACCACCAAGAUUCCUUUUGGUGUGGGGCAAAGCCCUUUGGACUCUCCUAAUACCUCUUUUGCUACUUUUCGGAUACAACUAGCCAUGGAAUCCCACAUUUGGCUAGCUUCCCCCUCUCUAUCCCCACACACAUUGGGUGAUUACCUUCUCUUUGAAAAUGACUUGUUUUUCUUCUUUUAGAUUCCACCAUCUAGUCCUUGGGCACUUCCAAGUCUUGUUCUUUUGUCUUACUCUUUUGAUAUGUACAUCCAUCACCAACAAGCGAUGUUGAUUAGCCACGCUCUCUCCUGGUAUAACUUUGCAAUCCUUACAAGUUAUACGAUCCCCUUUCCUCAUUAGAAGAAAAUCUAUUUGUGUUUUUUACGACCCACUCUUGUAGGUGAUCACAUGUUCUUCUCUCUUCUUAAAGAAGGUGUUGGCUAAGAAGAGAUCAUAUGCCAUUGCAAAAUCCAAGAUAGCUUCCCCAUCCUCGUUUCUCUCCCCAAAAUCAUGGCCACCAUGAAAACCUCCAUAGUUGCCUGUCUCCCUGCCCACGUGUCCAUUUAAAUCUCCUCCUAUAAAAAUAACUUCUCCGUCUGAGCAAUUCCUUGCACCAAGUCUCCAAGAUCUUCCCAAAAUUUCUCCUUCGAACUCGUAUCCAACCCUACUUGAGGUGCGUACGCACUAAUCACAUUGAUAAGUUCUUGUCCUAUUACAAUCUUGAUUGCCAUGAUUCUAUCUCCUACCCUCUUGACAUCUACAACAUCUUGUACCAAGGUCUUGUCCACGAUGAUGCCAACACCAUUUCUCGUUCUAUUUGUGCCCGAAUACCAAAGUUUAAACCCUGAGUUUUCUAGAUCCUUUGCCUUACUACCAACCCACUUAGUUUCUUGUAGGCACAUAAUAUUUAUCCUUCUCCUCACCAUAACUUCCACUACUUCCAUAGAUUUUCCCGUUAAGGUUCCUAUAUUCCACGUUCCUAAACGCAUUUUGCUCUCUUGAACUCUACACUUCUGUCCUAGCUUCUUCACCCUCCCCCGUCUAAUAGGAUCAAAGUACUUCUUUUGUGUGUCCCGGGUAAAGUUGAUAGGAGCAUAUGCUCCCAAACAACUUUGAGUGGAGUCGUUCGAAAAGAAGUUUCUAUGGCCCCCUUGCUCAUUUAACACUGCAUCCGGGUGCCGAUGGAGAUACAGCGACCCUUGCUCGCUUAUCACUGUGCUCGGGCCACACAGCGCGCCACUUACGGGUGACGCCCUAGCUUUAACGCGAUUUUGUUCUGGAUUCAUUUUCAUAAGGAUUCGACGUGAUCAUGGAGUGCCGGCUGUCGACUACCUGACGCCCUCCCCCUCCUCCUUUAUCCGGGCUUGGGACCGGCCAUGUAAGACAUAGGCGGAGUUGAAAACCAAAUAGGCCAAAUUGAAUUAUUCAUCCUUGUGGUCAUAGGAAACUUGCAUGAUGACCCCGUGAUGAAAAAAUUAGGAAUUAAACCCCUGUGGUCAAGAAUGUUAGAAAAUUUAGUCCAAAAGUAAGAUUUCUGUUAAAUGACUGUUAAAAGUAUGGGUAAAACUGUAUUUUCAGUUCCAAUUGACAUUUAAAAUAAAUAUUUUUUAUAACAAUUAACAAAAAAAAUAAUGCUUAAUUUUUUAAAUAAAAAAAAGCCCCAAUUCAAUGUCAAUUGAAACUGAAAAUACAGUUUUACUCCAACUUUUAAGUUUUAACAGUCCUUUAACAGAAAUCUUACUUUUGGACUAGAUUUGCUAACAUUUUAGACCAUCGGGAUUUAAUUCCUAGUUUUUUCACCAUAGGGGUCAUCAUGCAAGUGUCCUAUGACCAUGGGAUGAACAAUUCAAUUUGGCCAACCAAAUAACACGAUGCAUAUAUACUUCAUCGACAAAUAUAUAUAUACCGCCACCGCUACUCAGUAGUAUCCUCAUGUACACUGAUCAUGCACUGCCAUCAGAGCAAGCCGAUCUCUGCCUGCUUGUCAAGCCCUUCAACUUUGCCAUUCAUACCCACCGGCACCACGUUCCCCACCGCCCUGUCCACCUUGCCAACCACAUUCCUCUUGGCCACCUUCUUCCCAGCCUUGACCACCUUUGCCUCCCUAGCCACCGCCUUCCCUACCACGUUCCUCUUGGCCACCUUCUUCGGAUUAUACUCGGAUUAUUUCAACAAUAUAAAUUAAUGCAUACUGCUUUUGCCAGUUCCGGAAGUGGAGAGAGCUGUUUACAGCACAUGCUCUGUUGAAGGAUCCAGAAAAUAAUAUUAGGAGGAUCAGUAAGAAUAAUACGCAAUAUUUUUUACCAAAAAUAGCAUGCAUAUCGCUAUUUCAUCGAGUCUUAGGUCGUCUAAGAUCAUUUAGAAAUGAAUGCCCCCUCAUUUACGAGAGUAACUAACAUCUUCUAAGACUGCUCCCAUAUAAAUGCUUAACAAAAAAACACACUAACAAUGUUUGAUACCAUUACAUCCCAUUAAUAUAUUUAUCUAAGAAUAAUGAUGUUUUGUUAUUCACUGAGAUGAUCAUUUCAUUCACUCUUCUUUCAGACAUUUUAUCAAAUAGUUAGAGAGCAUGAAUGAAGCCAACUUUAAUCUUCAAAAAGGCACACUGAAAUUCGAAGCAUCAGCACCUAAGAUGUACCCAUGAACGUUCAUCGAAGUUGGAGAGGUCAGCUGACCCCUGUGCAUCCGCCACUGCUGUGAACUAAGUCGGAAACGAAGAUGUCAUUAAAUCUGUGCCACCACUUGCCGCAUCCAAUGGUUUCCAACUAGAAACUCCCUUCCCGGAAUGGCACGGCCGUGGUGUCCCCAGUGUCGAGGGCGGUAAGUGGCAUGCUUAAAUCUUGACAAAAUGUUGAGAUAUUGGUAUCUCAACAUUGCUCUGUUUUCUAGGUCCGGCGAUGAAUCAGAAGCGCCUAACGGAACCGGCAUAGGCUCAAAACAGAACCUCGAAGAGGCUGAGGAAUUACGCAGUGCCUCAUCCCAAUCUGUUUAAAAUGCUAACACACGGAACAACGUAUAUGGCGUAAUUCCAAACACACAUAUUACGAACUUUGUUUGAUUACGUUCGUAAAAUGCUCGGUUAUUCGAGUUAUUUGUUCCGUUGAUUCGCGUUUUUGAAGCCAAUUUUAUGAUAACAUAAACAAAAAUGGAAAUAAAACACAUAAUAUGCUUCAUUGAUCUGAAAAACCAACAAGCUUAUAAUACCACAACACAAACAUAACAAACACAUCCAGAAAACACCAACGAAGCCCUAAAAUCCACACACAAACCCUUAUGUUAUAAUCCCUGCACGAUUAUUCUCAUAACCCAAAUCACAGAAACAGUUUCAAGCAAUCUUGACCUCGAUUGUCUUCGGCUUCUUCGGCUCCGGCGGCGGCAGCUUCUGCACCGUGACAGUCAAAACCCCAUCCUGGCAAACAGCAGAAAUCGCAUCCACGUUCGCGUUCUCCGGCAACACAAACUUCCUCAUGAACUUGCCGACCCUCCGCUCCAUCCUCACGUACUUAGCCCCUUCCUUCUCCUCCUCCCGCUUCCUCUCGCCGCUGAUCAGAAGCACAUUGUCGUCCUCCACCUGGACCUUGAUGUCCCCGGACUUCAGUCCCGGCAUGUCCACCUCGAACACGUAGGAGGUCGGGUACUCCUUGACGUCUGCCGGCGUGGAGGCCAUGGCCUUGGCGUCACGGACGUAGGUCCGGGUGGGGGCGUUGAAGGAUUUCUCGGCGUCGUCGGCGGCGGCGUCCAUGAUGUGCUGAAGUGUGGAGAAGAGCUGGGCUUCCAAACCGGGGUUUCUGAUGUCCAUUCUUCGCUUCUUGGUGGGUGGAAUUUUCGCUUUUCGGUUUCGAUUUGAAGGCUUCCGUGAAUUUUCAGUGGGAAUCUGGUCGUUUUGGAGGGGAGUGGUGGUUAUGGGUAUUUAUAGGAGGAAGAUUUGAGGGAAGACGUGGGUUAGCGGGGAGGGACAAAGGAAUGUUCUGGAGAAACGUGGAAGGAAGGGAGGAGGUUCCAGUAGGUUCGCUUAAUUUCUUCUGUGAGCGUCUAGAACAUUAUGGAAGCGUUUACUAGAGGCGGCCUCUUUAGCCAUUUACGAGAUAUUUUGUUGAGAAAGAGUCAAAAAGUUAAAAUAGAUAACAGUACUAAAUUAAAAGAUAAUCCCAAAUAAAAAACAGAAAUAUAUGAAGACGAUAAAAAACAAACGAAAAUUAAACUCGGCACCUGUGGUUAUGGUAUUUCAAAUUCAAAUUAAACAAUAACAAAAUAGUCACUCUAAUGGUACUCUCUGUGACAAAUCAUCGAAAUAUAAUAAAAAUGAGCCAACAAAAGACAAGUAACCACUAAAAUGUAGGUGAUCCAAUAUUCUAGUAUUCAAUUUGAAAAUACCUUUAAAUCAUUGUAAUAAUUCGAACCUAUCCCUCCUUUUAAUAAUACUAAAAAUAAAAACUCUAAAAUAAGUUCUCUAUUAAAAAGAUAUUUAUUUUAAAAAAAAUUUAUUUACAUUAAAAGAAAAAUAUGUGAUUAUCCUCACUGAGCUAUAAUUCAAAUUCAUUUUAACAAAAAUCAAAACCUAAGCUAUAAUUCAAAUUCAUCUUAACAAAAAUCAAAACCUAAGAUCUUUAGUUACAAAUGAAUUCGUCGUCGUACCCAGUGCACAAGACUCUCGCUUUACGCAGAAUCUAAAAGAGGUGAAUGUCGGCUAACCUUACACUCAUUUAUGAAGAGGCUGGUCCAAUACAAAUGAAUUCGUCUUAACAAAAAUCAAAAUAUAAGAUCUCUCGGUGAAGAUGACGGAACGGAACCCGAAUAAGCUCAAACAGAACCCCGAAGAGGCUGAGAAAUUAGGCAGUACCUCAUCUCAAUCUGUUUAAAAUGCUGAGACACGGAACAACGUAUAUGGCGUAAUUCCAGACACACUCAUAUUACAAACUCGGUUUGAUUAUCGUAAAAUGCUUGGUUAUUUGAGUUAUUUGUUCCGUUGGUACGCGUUUUUGAAGCCGAUUUUAUGAAAAGAUCAACAAAAAAUGGAAAGUAAAAACAGAGACUGAAAUAGGAAGUAAAGACAUAAUAUGCUUCAUUGAUCUGAAAAACCAACAAGCUUAUAAUACCACAACACAAACACAACAAACACUUCCAGAAAACACCAACGAAGCCCUGAAAUCCACACACAAACCCUUAUGUUAUAAUCCCUGCACGAUUUUUCUCAGAACCCAUAUCACAGAAACAGCACUCAAAAGUUUCAACCAAUCUUGACCUCGAUUGUCUUCGGCUUCUUCGGCUCCGGCGGCGGCAGCUUCUGCACUGUGACAGUCAAAACCCCAUCCUGGCAAACAGCAGAAAUCGCAUCCACGUUCGCAUUCUCCGGCAACACAAACUUCCUCAUGAACUUGCCGACCCUCCGCUCCAUCCUCACGUACUUAGCCCCUUCCUUCUCCUCCUCCCGCUUCCUCUCGCCGCUGAUCAGAAGCACAUUGCCGUCCUCCACCUGGACCUUGAUGUCCCCGGACUUCAGUCCCGGCAUGUCCACCACGAACACGUAGGAGGUCGGGUACUCCUUGACGUCUGCCGGCGUGGAGGCCAUGGCCUUAGCGUCGCGGACAUAGGUUCGGGUGGGGGCGUUGAAGGACUUCUCGGCGUCGUCGGCGGCGUCCAUGAUGUGCUGAAGUGUGGAGAAGAGCGGGGCUUCCAAACCGGGGAUUCUGAGGUCCAUUCUUCGCUUCUUGGUGGGUGGAAUUUUCGCUCUUUGGUUUCGAUUUGAAGGCUUUUGUGAAUUGUCGAGUGGAAAUCUGGUCACUGUUACGGAGGAUGGUGGUGGUUCUGGGUAUUUAUAGGAGGAGAAGUUGAUGACGUGGGUUAGCAGGAAGGGAAUAAGGAAGGUUCUGGAGACACGUGGAGGGAAAGUAGGAUGUUCCAGUAGGUUCCAUUUUGUUCUUCGGUGACCGUCUAGAACAUUUUGGAAGGUUUUACCAGAGGCGGGCCACUUUAGUCAUUUGCCAUAUUUUUUGUUGGGUAAGACGAGGACGGAAAAGCUAAACUAAAAAACAGUACUAAAUUAAAAGAUAUGAGCAGAUAAAAAUAGGUGAUUUUGAUAUCCUAAUAAAUAAGGUGAUGAAUUUUAACUAUGCGUAUCAGUUGAAAAAUAUUAAACUCUAAGGUGAUGAAUUUUAACUAUGCGUAUCAGUUGAAAAAUAUUAAACUCUAAAUUGGCAGACAAAAAACAAGUUAUUACGGAAACCAGUUUAAUAUUGUAAUUAAUUUCACAUAAUGGUUCUUUACAUUUCCAAAAAGGAAGAGCACAAUAUAUUAACCUUAAUAUAUCAAAGACAACACCAACCUUCCUUUCCUUCUUAUUCUUUUUUUUUUUUUUUUUUAUAUGAAAGACCAAAUUAAAAGAAAAACAUAACCAAAGUAUAAGAAAUUACAGCAGACACAAAAAACCAAAUAACACGAUGCUUAUAUGCUUUAUGCACAUAUAUACGUACUGCCACCGCUAUUCAAUAGUAGCCUCAUGUAAACAGAUCAUGCACUGCCAUUAGAGCGAGCGGACCUCUGCUUACUUGUCACGCCCUUCAACUUGUCCUUCAUACCCACCGGCACCACGCUCCCCACCGCUCUGCCCACCUUGCCUGCCAUGUUCCCCACCUUGCUCACCGCCUUGCCUACCACGUUCCUCUUGGCCACCUUCUUCCCAGCCUUGACCACCUUUGCCUCCCUGGCCACCGCCUUGGUCACCUUGCCCACGGCCUUGCCUACCAUGUUCCUUUUGGCCACCUUCUUCCCAACCUUGACCACCUUCGCCUCCCUGGCCACCACCUUGCCUGCCAUGUUCCCAACCUUGGCCACCUCCCUGCUUGCCACGUUCCUCUUCGCCACCUUCUUCCCAGCCUUGACCACCUUUGCCUCCCUGGCCGCCGCCUUGGUUGCUGCUUAUCUGGAUCUGAAUAGUCUUGGGCUUCUUCUGCUCUGGCGGCGGCUUCUUCGCAACUGUCACAGUCAGCACCCCAUCCUGACACUCGGCCGAAAUCCUCUCAAUAUCGGCGUUGUCCGGCAGCACAAACUUCUUGAGAUACUUCCCGAGCCUCCUCUCCAUCCUCAAGUACUUGAUCCCCUGAUCCCUCUCCUUCUCUUUCUUCCUCUCCCCGCUCACCACCAGCACGUUGUCCUCCUCAAUCUUCACAUUAAUCAUAUCCGGCCUCAGCCCUGGAACAUCCACCACGAAAACGUACGCAUCUUUAGUCUCCUUCACAUCUGCGGGUGUGGCAGCCAUGGCCUUCGCCUCCCGGACGUACCGGCGAGAGGGGGCCUGGUAGCUUUGUUGGUUCUGCUCGUCGGAGAUGUCGAGCAGGUCGUGCAGGGUCUCCAGCAGGUUGGGAUCGAAACCCAAGUUCCUCAGGCUCAUCACUUCCAUACCCACGACAAUGAAAACGAUGAUAUAGUAUUCUGUAAAUAAAUUUGGUGCGUUUUUGUUAGGGUUUCGGAGAGGUUAUAUAGAGAGGGAAAAUGUGAAGCGGUGGUGUUUGUGAUUAUAUCGAUAGGGUUUGUCCUGAUGCCCCUGCUACGUGGGGUUGAGAUGGAGGUUUGGGUGGUCUACGUGGCAUGCGUAGAUGGCUAGUACAAAAUUACAAAUGCAUGGGGAGAAGAUGUGGCAAGCCUACUCCGCUCACGUGGAGAUCUAUUUUUCUUCAUGGAAAUCCAAAGUUGAGAUAUAUUUGAGUUCCAAAGCAAUAUAGUUUCAGCUUCUGGCAUGUUCUGCGUCAUGGAAUAUGUUCUACAGACUACAGAACUCUACCAUAUGACCCUCAAUAAAAAAAAUAUGAACGUGUGCAGCUCAAAAUUUUUCACUUUUUUCAUUACGAAAAUUAGUCGAGCACUGCUAUCUCAUAUGUUCCAUAAAUUAAAGAACUGGUCGUUAUUUUCAAAAGAACAAUGACCAUAAUUAAGGAUGAUAUCUAAUCAUUUAUGACUCAUUUGAAAAUAUUUUUAAAACUAUUGAAAGUGUUAGAGAAUAGUUUUGAAUUCUAAAAGCAUUUAAAAAGCUUUCUAUAGAAAAGACCACACGUAUUAAAGAUGCUAUAUAAUCAUUUAAGGCUUAUUUAGAAAUACUUUUAAAAUAAUAUAAAUACUUUAAAAAAAAUUAGAUUCCAAAAACACUUAAAGUGUUUCCCACAUGAUUCACUUGCAUUUUAAAUACUUUUUCUAGAAUUCACUUGUAUUUGUAUCUUAACUAAGAAUUCAUUUAAAAAUAUUUUAACUCAAAUCGUUUUUAACCAUUUUAAAAAUAUUUUUCAACGAACUCUUCUAAUAUUAUAUAAAUUUCAAAAUUUUCUCAUAUUUUAUGAGGAAUGAAUUCCUGUUUUCUCGUUCUUUAAUAUAAGAAUAAAGUAGUAUUAUUUUAUUUCUUGUCACCCAGCGUCAAGUGCGUAUAUAACUUAUGUUCAGUCCGUAACUGAUGUCUUUCUGUUAAAUGUACGGUCAGGCCCGAUCCUAAGAAUUUGGGGCUAUAAACGAGCCUUUGAAGUGAAGCUUUAAAGUUCUUUGACUCUCAAUUCUCUAUACAUAGUCCUGAGAAUUUGAGGUUAUAGAUGAGCCUUUGAAGUAGAGCUCUAAAGUUCUUUGACUCUCGGUUCUUUAUACAUAGGUAUUAAAAUAAAAAAAUAAAAAUAAAAACAAACAAACCUUGCCAAAUACAAAAAAAAUUAUAUUUCUACAUCAAAUAUAAUUAAAAUUUGAUAUAAAAAAAAGAUAGAUAUACAAACAUUACUUAAAUAUUAUACGUCUCACAUUUUUAAAUGCAAAUGUACUAAAUAUUUGCAGUCAAGAGUAAAAAAUUGAGAGUGAAGAACAAUAAAACUUAAUUGAUGAGUAUAAUAAAUUCCUCUUGUGUUUUUUUUAACAUCAACAUCACACUAACGAAUCAAAUAUUAAAAUAACCGGAUUAUUGAUAAGCAAACUAUAAAUUUAAAGUUUUUAUUACCUUAGAGUACAAUCUUCAAGGCCAUGUGAUAGUUGAUUUAAACAUUUGAUAGAAAUAGAAUGUAUGUGAAGUUGAAAGAAAAAAAAAUUGCAAAGAGACUUAAGUUUUAUAAUUUUAUAUGCAUUUGAAAGAUGGAUUAGGAGUAAUUUGAAAGAAAAAAAUAUUAGUGACUAAAAAGAUAGCUCCAUAUUUCGAACUCAACACCUCAAAGAAUAAAAAAGUUGGCCUCCCAAAUUUUUGAUUCCCCAAAGAAACCUUAACUCAUCCCUCUCAAGCGUAGGAUUGCCAAUUCGAAUGGCAACCAUGACAAAUUUUCCCGUUUAGCUCAUUCUCUCUCUUCCUUUUAUUUUUCUAUCCAAAUCCUUCCCUCUCUUCCCUCCGCCUUUUUUUCCGUCCAAUCAUUGGGUGGUAAUCAGUACCGGGUUCUAAGAGUUUAAGUCACGGGGGUUGCGGUCAGUGAAGAACUACUUGCGACUGAAAUAGAGAAGACAAGAGAGCAGCGAGAUCUAGUCCUGGCUAAUACCAUACUUUUGGUGGGGAUUAGUUAGAGCCAAUUAGCGAGGUCCAGAGUCGAGGCGAGUUCGAGCUAGCGUCAUUAAAGCUAAGUCUUUGCUGAGUCAAACACUAGACUACACUAGCUAUUAGUCUAGUCCAAUCCAGUGAGAGCUAAGGAUAUCAAACAAACACAUCCUAAAAGGAUAAAACAAAAUUCAAGCAAAAAAUUACAGUAUAUGUAGCCUGAGAUUUCUGAUUUUUGCAGUUUGUGGAUUUGAUUCAAGCAAAAAGGGGGAUGAGAUUCAAGCAAAAAGGGAGGCGGAGGGAAUUUUUGGUUUUGGUGGAAAAGGAAGACUGUAGUUUGUGGAUUUGAUUUAAGCAAAAUGGGAAUGUGAUUCAAGCAAAAAUGGGAGGCAGAAGGAAUUUUUUUUAUGGUUUUGGUGGAAAAAGGAGGAGGGAAUACUAAAGGGAGAAAUUAUUAGAAAACUCUAAUGGCGUUAGGAAAGGUGGAAACCCAGCCAUCAAUUUUUAUUUAAUAAUUACUCUGCCACAUGUCAUUUAUUUAUUGGUGGUUACUACCAGCUGUUAGUACCACGUGGUGGUGCUGUGCCAUCUAAUAAUUUCUCCACAGUGAGGUAGCAGCUGUGGAGUGCUCUCAUAUCACAACAAUCCCUGAAAUGUCGUUCCUGAAACUAAGGUACUUUCUGCUACUUGAUGCUUGCUCAACGCUCAGCUUGUGUUUUGUAUGUAAAUAAGUUAGAGAUUUCCUUCAUUGAUCGCUUUUUGGAUUUUGAGUAUGUUCAGUUUAGUCUCCAAACUAUUAUGAAUUGAGGUAGAUUACGGAAAACAAUGGCAAAUAGGAUAAUAACAUAUUAAGAAACUAGCACUUUCGUAGAACUUAGUGAUGAACACUGUGCUUCGUCUUCGUGUAUGCAAUCUUGAAGUGAAUCCACAUCGAGUAGGAGAAUUAAUAAUUUUGUUUAUUUUCUUAUCCCAUAUGUUACAUUCUCUCGACACUGCACUGGACAACCCUAACAAAAAAUUUAAUUUUGACAAUUAUUAUGUGGAACACCAUGCUGCACUAGAUAUAAGUACUUAUUCAUGAAACUCAAUAUAAAUUUCACAAGAAGUUUUAGGCGUCUCUCUAAUCCCACUUUCUUAAGUGAUUCACAGAUUAAGUUUAGUUUUAUGUCACUUAGUGAUAAGACUCAAUUCUCAAUUCCCUUAAUCAACCUGCAAGUAGCACAAGAAAGCUAUGGAAGAAGAGGGAAGGAGAGAUGAAGGAGCAAAGCUCCAAAUAUUUUUGUAUUUAAUUUCUUUGUUGUAAAUUCUGAUCUGCCACAUUUGAGGGAGCUAGGCUCCUUUUAAACAGACUCUACUUUUUAAAACGCCAGCUGGCAUAUUUAACAAUUCUUAACAAUUCAAUUAAAGCAUAAACCUCAAUUACAUUUUGGGUUCAUAACAAUAUUCCCCCCUUGAAAAUUAGCCUUGUCCUCAAGGCUUAAAAAUGGAAUUGUGGAAGUCCUCCCAAUUACCUGCUGUCCUCAAAGCAACAAGAAGUUGAAUCUGCAGAAAGGCACUCAUUGGCAGAUUCCUCCCAAGCCUUCUUCGAGUCAAGCUCCUGAUCUUCCUUAAUCAACUUAAGGCAUGAAUUCCAAUAGAUAGGGAAAAGAUUGAUGAAUUCUCAUUCUGAAAAUCUAGCAUCUUCACUAUGCAAACAGAGAGACCUACAAGCUGCCAACCUUACAGAUAGGUCUUUGUCCUAUAGCAAUCUGAUCAAAGCACAGUAAACUAGCAUUUUUGUGUCCUUUUUAAUAUCAGAAACCCAUUGUCCCAAUAUCAGUGCAACUUCCCAGGGGGUGAUACGCAUAUUUGGAUGAUCAAUAUGAACCAAUAAUUCUAAACAUGGUAGUGAACCAACCAAAACAGAUGACUGCAAAGGUGUAAUACUGUCAUUAUUUUCAGCAACAAGAUUAGCAUUGUUUUGUAAUAGAACUUCCACUGCAUCUUGGUGACCAUGACCAACAUCCCAAAUUAAGGAACUUCCAGCGUCUCUUGGUGAAUUAACAUAAGCACCUUGGGGUUCAAACACCCCAGUCCUUUUGUCAACCAACUCUGCCAAUUCUAUGUUCCCAUAAAUCCUACAUGUAAAAAGCAGAGAUCCCCAUAUAACCACAUCAGGUUGAGUAGGCAUAUCUCUGAUGAACUUUUCAGCCACAUUUAACAGAUUAGCACGGUUAAGAAGAUCCACAAUGCAUCCAUAGUGUUCAAUACGAGGAUUGAGCUUAUGAUUUUCAAGAUCCAUGCUAUGUAUCCAUUUAUCAAUGAAUCGGAGCAACCAUGACAAACCUCGAAGAAAUGAUUCAGUAAUGCAUUCCAUCUGUAACAAGCUAUGAAUGUGUCCUGCAUAAAGCGCACCUGAAAUAGCUCCAUGUAGUAAUAAUCGAACCGGUUGUGCUUGAGAAAUCUGAGCCGUUGCUUUUAUCUCCUUUGUCUCCCUUAAUUGUUUUUUGAAAGCAUGUCAACAAAACUUUGACAGCAAGAUUUUAACCAUAUUUUUCUGACCUCAUCACCAGUAUUGCAUAGCAAUCUUAUGCAGAGGACCAUCCCGGCAUAAGAAUCAUUGUCAAUUGGAUGUGGAAGAACUGGAGAUUGUCCUAAUUGCAACAUAGAAACAACAAUCAACAGUGCUCGUGAAAAUGGUUUAUUCACUUCAACUUUUGAUGGUUGGACCCCUUCCAAUCUCAGGGCAAGCUUGAUCAGAGGGUAUGCAACAAUUGUCCCAAGGAAAAAGUCACAAGUGAGAAGCAGGGAUCUCAAGUUCCUAGAUGCCACAGAUCCUUGAAAAAGGGUAGGAGGAGAGAAAGCAAUUCCAGAUGCAGCAUGAUGUGUGGCAUAAGUUCCAUCAGCAAGAAUAGUAGGUCUUUUAAAAGACACAGUCAUGGAGUUUACUUGCUGAACCGUUUGUGAAGAAUCAUUACUUUCUUCUUCCGAAACCGAGAGAAAAGGCAAUUCGCUUAGGCACUGUUUAAUUGAUGCAGUUCCACCUUUAAAUUCAGGAAGUGACGUGCAACAUGCUGCAAAAAUCCAAAGGCCGGAAGAGCAAACCCGUGAUGCUCGGAUUUGGUAGAAAGUGUCUAAUAGCUUUGUUAUUAUAGAUACCUUUACUCUAGGGUUGGUUUCUAUUAUUACUUGGAUAAGAACAAUCAUAUCAACAAAAGAAGCAACAUUGCUGCCUCCUAAGAAUUCCAUCAACAGAUGUACCAAUGUGCUCGCCACUUCUGGGAACUUUAUUGCACAAUAGUGAAUAGCCUGAAUAAGCAUCUUCCUGUAUUCACCAUUCUUUUCUAGCUCUCCAGUAUGAGCCGUGACAACUUCCCUUUUCAAAAUAAGAACAAGCUCAUUGAUAUUUGUGCAAGUAACCAAGCUAAAAACAAUGUCUAGGGUCUUCCUCCUGAUGUCAAGAUUAUGACUAGAAAGUGCCCUCAGCAUAUCCAGGAACAUAUCAGCUACUACUUCUCUAUGAGAAGACUUUAGCUCAGUCAGCCGAUCAAGAACAAUAAGCUUCACAUUGUUGUCACUUUGAGAAGGAAGCAGCUGAUAAUAGGUAUUGGCAGCAGCUCUCCCCUGCUCUUCACAGUUUGUUCGACAUAAUUUUCGCAAGAACAAAAUGGUUUGUGGGAUUGAAUGGUUGUUGGAAGGAUCAGAUGGGAAGUAUUUAUUGGAAAACCUUUCCUUCAUCGACUCAGUUAUUGCCAUAUUGUUUUCUCUCCAUCUCUUAGGCAAUUCAUCAAACAGAUGCAAUGCAAACAAAUUCUUCUUCACAAAUUUACCCACAAGAUACCAAUUUAUCCAACCAUAUUUAUCAUUCCGAAAUGCACUAUAGUUAUCAGUUAAAAGAGAAGGAAAUAUAACGUCCAAAGUUGUUAUAAUGAAACGCAAAUAGAGAACUACCUCAGCUCCAGUUUUCGUAGUAUCAAAGAAGAAGUGUGUUCGGAGUAGCCACGGAGCAAAGGUCAUCGUCGAAGCAUGAAUAACUCUCUUCGAUUCCGGCAAAGAAACUAUGGCUGCAGCGGAAUCGUUCGAUUGUGGCUUGACGGCCGAAGUUGCCAGUGCGCGCAACAUCGGUGAAGAUGAGAGCAAUGGCGGAAUGAAAUGGUCGUGGAUUGUCGACGAAAUUCGCAGUGGGUUGUUGUCUCUGUUGUGAGGUUUUUGGUGACCGACCUCGAUUGAUUCAGCUUCCACGGAACACAUCGAGGCUAGAUCAAAAUCUCCCUCAACAUCGAGAGCCAAGUCACGGUGUAACUGAGCAAGGUCCCUGUGGAUUGCUGCGAGUACAGGAUUCACAGCCUUGUGAAUGGCAGUGAGUGCAGAAUCCAUAGCUUCGCGGAUCGCAUCACGGAUCGCAGCACGCAUCGAAGCUUCAAAUGAAUCGAUUGCAGCGGAGAGGCGUGCAUCCAUGGCAGGAAGACGGGUCGGGUGGGCGUGCACAAGAGGGAAACCAGGAUUCGAGAAGGAUGAUACCAUUGAUAAGACUCAAUUCUCAAUUCCCUUAAUCAACCUGCAAGUAGCACAAGAAAGCUAUGGAAGAAGAGGGCAGGAGAGAUGAAGGAGCAAAGCUCCAAAUAUUUUUGUAUUUAAUUUCUUUGUUGUAAAUUCUGAUCUGCCACGUUUGAGGGAGCUGGGCUCCUUUUAAACAGACUCUACUUUUUAAAACGCCAGCUGGCAUAUUUAACAAUUCUUAACAAUUCAAUUAAAGCAUAAACCUCAAUUACAUUUUGGGUUCAUAACAAUUAGUUGUGGGGAAGGGGUGGAGAGUAGACCAAUGUCUUUACACUUUGAUUUGUUCACUGAUUUCGACUGCAAAGGUAGUAGAAAAGGUAAUAAGCCUUCUACUAAAAUGUAGAGUCAAUCUUCUGCUAACAUGUCAGGGCAAGUCAAGAUUAAUGAAAAAGCAGUAGAAACUAUUGACGGGCAUCUUGAGCUAUCAUUCAUUUUCUAACCUUAAAAGUAAAUUCCUGGAAUAUGUAGUGGAAGGAGGGCAAGUAUUUGUGCGAAUCUGAAUAGUAUUUGUCAAAUAUUUGGAUGAAUGUCUUAUAUAUUGAUUGUUGUAAUGUUGAAAUGUUUCUACAUGCAAUAUAUCUUCAAAAUUCAAAACAACUAUUUAUUGAAAACAAUCAUAGGAAUCUGAAAAAAAGUAUGAAAUAUGGACUUGCCUUCAUUAUUGAACUAGGAAAGCGAAAAACAAAACAGGCGUUUGACGAACUGAUUGUGAUCUGACUCAGAUAUGUGAUGAUGACGAUGCCUCAGCGCCUUGAUCGUGCCUCACCAUAGAACUGAUCUGGGAUGAUGCUUACACUUGAAAUUUUUGCCUUUUUCCAUUUCUGUAAUCUGUAGUAAUUAUCAUUUGAUUACUGGGAUGAUUAUUAGCAGAUGCGUCAUGGCUUGGUCCUACCGAACCGAGCUGGAUAUGGCUCAUAAAUAUAACCAACUUUGUCCAGAUCAUGCACAUUUUCCCUCAAAGGUUUCUCCCAUCCUAGAUUAACCCCUAUUCUCUUCACUGACCUAGGAUAAUUAGGUUCUGCAAUAACUAUUUCAACUUCAACUUCAUCUCCGCCUUGCAAAUUGAGCUUAUCGUUGGAUAAUUGUCCCUGCCAAAGGCCCUUUGGAAGAAUGGUCUCUAUAUCCACAUCAAAAAAUUCUAAGCUUAUGCAGGCCCGCAACUCAGUACGCUUAGUAUUAUUUAUAACGGUAAUGGCAAGAGGAAAAUAGUCAUUAUCGAUAUCGUAUUCGUCGUAAAUGCAAUACAAAGUCAGCCCUUCAAAAUUACGAUCAUCACUCAGGGGGAAUAGCAAAAUUGACUUUACUGCCAUCGUUGCUAGAUUGAAACCAAUCAGGAACCUAAUUCCCAUGGAGGACAAUGCCACCAAAUCCCCAAGAAGUCCUUCCCUAUAUAUACAAUGCAAGUGUCAUAUAUAUAAUUAUAUAUAUUAUAUACAUGUACAUGUGCGUUUGUAUAUAUAUUAUAACACUGAUAUUAUUCCCAACUUGGUAAUUACCACCUGCACAAUCCGUCAGAUGUGAGGUUUUAUCACAAAAGAUCUCUGUAAUAGUUGGAGUAGGAUUAGAAUAUUUAAACUCUUAUUUUCUCAUUAAUACGAUCGAUGUGGAACAUUUUAACAAUACUCACUCGUCUAACAAUUGUCUACUAAAAUGUUUAAAAUCUUGAAAAGCAGGUGAAUGAUUACCUAUUGUCAGUGAUUUGAAGAUGGUGGCCAGACAAAUCUGCAGCUUUUGUAAGAGCCUCUCUCCACUGCUUUACCCUUUCUUUCUUGGACAAGGAUUUUCUGCUCUCUAAUUUUUCAUGUCCUUCUAUGCCUUAUUGUUUGUAUAGUCACGGUUAAACCACGUCAACAUUUUAUAUUAUUAUUUAUUUUUAUCUUGUUAUCUUUAUAAAAAAAUAAUAUAAAAUAUUAACAUAACUUAAUGAUGACCACACAAAACAGAAGAACAUGAAAAAUUAGAGUGCAGACAAUCCUUGUCUUUCUUUCUUGGAUUCAUGUUUCUUGUCAUCUUUUUCUUCAUCAAUGCCCUCUUCGUGCUUUUUAAAUACUUCGGCUAAAUCUCCAUUCUGCUUCUUGACAUGCGAAGGAUCAACGUGAUAGAAUAUUGGAAAAACAUGUCGCCCCCGUUUGGCUCUGCACUCCAUGAUCUUCACCAGCUCGUCAAGACACCAACUUGAAUCCGCAUACCUCUUUGAGAAGACAAUGAUAGAGACCCUCGACUCUUCGAUUGCCCGGAACAGUUCCUCUUUUAUUUCUUCCCCUCUUUUUAGAUCAUCCUCGUCCAUAUAAGCCUUGUAUCCCUUGUAUUUGAAUGCCGCGUGGAGGUGGCCUGUAAAGCCCUUGCGAGUGUCUUCGCCUCUGAAGCUGAAGAACAUGUCGUGAUUCCAAAGUUUUGACUUGGAGGAGGAUGAAGAGGAGGCUUCAAGGGCUGUCAUGGCGGUAUCCACUGUUUGGCACUGCAAUGCUUCAGAUCACGACUGAAAAAAUGGCAGCGGUUAUGUUUGUGUUACCAAACCGAUGAUACUUAAUUACAGAAGCCAAGUCAACCUUUCUUCAUUCAACAAAAACAAAAGUUUAUAAUAUAAUAAUGUUGGCGUAGGGACUUGAGAAAUGAUAUAUUGCCGGCCGGGAGGGUGCAGAGAGGGAGAGAGAGAGAGAGAGAGAAAGAGAGGAAAAGAGGAAAGAAACGAACAUGAAAACACAAAAACCAUCCAAAAGAUUCUUGGUUGUAAUUACUACUAUUCAACUAUCAACAAUGCCUAUUAUUUUUAGGUUAAAAUUGGGAAAGUAUUUGCGAAUAAGCAUGGCAACAACUACAUAACAAAAAAAAAGUGGGUCGAGAAAAGAUCCAAACGUGAAAGGAUAAUCAAGCAUAAGUUUCAUGACCUUUUUUAUUCUUAUUCCUUUGUUAUAAGGUCCCACAUCUUUGACACUAAAAGGAAGAUGAUGUCUUGCCUUGUUAGCUUGAUCUUCAAGUCGCUCAGUAGUAGUCCAGGGUUAUAGUAAUGACCACUCCUUAACAAAAAGAGAAAGGAAUUUUGGAUUUAUUGUUGCUUAUAUUAUUGCAUUAAUUGAUGAUUUAUUUUUGAUAUUCUUGCGGAGUAGUUUAAUUGGUUUUGCAAGAUGUGUUUUUUUCAGAGAGAAAGAUUCAAGUGCAAGAUAUUCGGGUUGGGAUUUGUAUUAGGUUAAAGGUUUAUCAAGGUAAACCAAAGGGGGGGAUUAAAUUUUAGGUUUAUUACUGUUACCUUACUUGACUAGAAUACAUCAAAUGAAGUACUUGCCAACUUUCUUGCAUUUGCGAUGUUCCUACAGCUAUUCAUGAAGAUAAUGACGCUUAUAUUGAUCAAACAAACAAAAUGAGACAAAACCAAGCAUAUUGCAUUGUCCUCACAUUAGCAACAAGAGCAUCAAAGAUAGCGCUGGGUGCGGUUUGGAUUGGUUCAGUUUUGGGUCCAAGACAAGAUGACAUUAAAAGUUUUAAAUCAUUCGUUUGGAAAAGAGAAAAGAGUUUUAAAAUUGCAAUGAGGCAAAUGAGGCAUACAAUACAUCCGACAGUGUCUUUUCAUAUGACGGACUUGGUCUGGCUGCAAUUUGCAAUGACUUUCUUGGCCGUGAGUAGUAACAGCUAGCUAUUCAACUCUUACGCAAUAUAUAUGUAAAUUGGGUCCGUAAUUUUAAGCAUAUGCCAUAUAGUAAUAAACCACAAAUUAAAAAAAUUAUUAACAAAGUAAAAAAAGGGAUAUAUGAUGAGGAGCAUGUCUAUGAGGCUUCACUGAUUGAUGAGAUGGGGACUCUUCAGCCACUUCGCUACCAUUGGCUACCAUUUAAGAGAGAGAAAAAAAAACUACCAUUAGCGUAAGCUGAACAAAAAUCAUCAAAUUAUUUUGGCUAUAUCUUUCCUUGAUCGAUUUUUAAAUAAAAAUAAUAUACGAAAUGGUUACAUAAACGAAUACUAAAAACUGGGUAGUCGCGAAGUAUAUACCUUCUUGAUGCCUUUUUGAGGUCGCUGGGAACGUGGAGUGAAAGAGAAAGGAAAAAAGAAAAUGAAUGAACACGAAAGAACAAAGACUAUUGGCUAAAUGGUCAUUGAGAUUUGUAUAACUCAUCAUUUUGGUCCCUAAGAUUCUAAAUCGAUAAAAGUGGUCCCUGAAUUUGUCCACCAUCCAUCAUUUUGGUUCUUCCGUUAAAAACUUUUUAAGUGUCCCGGAGUUUUUGGCCGGAAGUUUGAGCAAUUUUCAAAGUUUCGUAACUCAAUCGUUUCUUAACCAAAUUCGACCCAUAAUAUAUCAAAAUGAAGAUAGGAAAGUGUAGAAUAAGAUUAUACCUAUUUGGAAGCCCAAUGGUUGCCGGAGAUUGCCGGAAAAUAGCCUCAAAAUUGACUGGUCCGAGGGAAAACAUGAAAACUCGCUAGAAACUGGGUACACUUUAAACAUUCAUAACUUCUUCACUACUCAACGAAAUCAAGUGAUUCAAAAACAAAAAUCAUAGUUCUCGAUGAGAUGAAGAGAAUGUUACCUUUUUUUUACGGCUAACUAGCCUUGGUUUGGCAGGAAAACGGCCCGAAAGUGGCUGUCUUGGUCUUGAGUUAGCCACUUUCGAGCCGUUUUCCGGCCCAAAUACGGCAAUCUAGCUAUAAAAAAAGGUAUCAUUCUCUUCUUCUCGUUGAGAAAUAUGAUUUUUGUUCUUGAAUCACUUGAUUUCGUUGAGUAUUGAAGAAGUUAUGAACGUUUAAAGUUUACCCAGUUUCCGGUGAGUUUUCUAAUUUUUGCUCGGACCAGUCAACUUUGAGGCUAUUUUUCGGCCAUCUCCAGCAACCAUUGGGCUUCGAAAUAGGUAUAAUCUUAUUCUACACUUUCCUAUCUUCAUUUUGAUAUAUUAUGGGUUGAAUUUGGUUAAGAAACGAUUGAGUUACGAAGCUUUGAAAAUUGCCCAAACUUCCGGCCAAGAGCUUCGGGACAUUUAACGGAGUUUUUAACGGAAUGACCAAAAUGAUGGAUGGUGGACAAUCUCAGGGACCACUUUUAUUGAUUUGGAAUCUCAGGGACCCAAGUGAUGAGUUAUGCAAAUCUCAGGGACCAUUUUGGCUAUUUAGCCAAGACUAUUAAAUAGAUUAUAACAAUGACUUUUUGGCAUGAUUACAGCUAUCAACUAUAAGUAAUGCAAUUUAUUUAGGUUGAACAACCACAUAAUAAACAAAAAUGAUUAGAAAAAUAGACCCAAAUGUUAAAGGAUAAUUAAAAAUAAUUAUUCAAGAUGGUUGGUAAAUGAUUCAGCCAUUUAUAAUAUUCAAACUUAGAACAACAAUCUAUUGGAUCAUUAUAUAAAUUAUUAAGUGAUGCUCUAAUAUAAUACACCUAAAUAGGGAUGGACCACAUAAUACACCCAAAUGGACCAGUGUUAGGCUCCACUGCUAAAAACUUGCAAAAUCAUUGUAUUAACUAUUAAGGAUUAAACUUGUAUUAUACAUAUAGACAAUGUUUUACAAGCACAAGGGAGCUAACAGUGUCUAUUGAUAUGACUUGCACUUGGGAGUACUCGCUGCAACUUGCAUGCAAUGACUUUCUUGGCGUAAUGGGGGAAAGAGGAAAGAAACUAGCACGAAACUGCAUGCGCUAGCUACCGAUUCAUUUAUAAUAUUAUAUUAUAUAAUGAUAAUGUUAGGAAGAUUAAAAUAAAUUAAAUUUGUAAAUUAAAUGAUGUUUAUUAAUAAGAAAUAAGUACGUUAAUCAACACGUAAAUAAUAAUCUAAUCAUCAACAAUCAUAUCAUUUAGUUUAUAAAAUGGGAUAUUUUGGAUGCGGUCUCUAAUCUUUAACAUUCUUUGAUGAAAACCUUAAUAGUAUUCAAAGUUUAAUCAAAGUCCCUUGACUUUGUACACCUCAUUAUAUUACAAUUAAUAUUUAUAUUUUUAUAGUUUUGACAUUAAUUGUUUGAUAUUUUAUGAGAUUUAUAAUCCUAUAAAUUUAAAAUCCCUCAUUAUAAUACUAUUAGAAACGGUUACAAUAAAAAAAUUCAAAUAUUUUGAUUGAAUAAAUGAAUAAAAACUAUGUAAAAAUAAUAAAUAAUAAAUGGCAAAAGAAUGUAUCCAUAGUGUUAAAAAAAGUGGUACAUUAAUAAAGAAGAAUGGGUAUAUUAGAAAUAAAUUAGGGUACAGAUAAAAGAUUAAAAAUUAUGAAUACAAAUGAAUUUUUUAAAAUAUAGGCGCUAAAAGAAAUUAAUACAUGGGUACAAAAUAAAUCUAAAAAGAAAAUACUACAAAUUUUAAAAAAAAAUGUUGCAAAUUAAAAGUGGGUUCAAACUAAAAAUAUAAAUAUAUGAUACAAAGUUUAGGCAUAAAACAUAAAUAUACCAUAUGUAAUUGUUCUAUUAUUGAUUAAAUAUACAAUGUCACGUAACGGUAUACACAUGGGUACAAACAUAAAUAAAACUUUAAAAAAUAUGGGCACAAAAAGAAACUAAUAUAUCGGUACAAAUUAAAAAUGAAAAGAAAAUUGGUACAAAUUAAAAAAUAUUUGCAAAUUAAAAAUAGCUACAAACUAAAAAUAAAAAUAUAUGAUAAAAAAUUUAGCCAUAAAUAUAAAUAUACUAAUUGUAACAUUUUUAACAUUAAAGGAAUAUAUUUAAAAAUAAAAAUAUUUUAUUAUUCAAAUAAUUAAUGAUGUUAUUAAUACCGAAGGACCUUGAUCAAAAAUUGAAAAUGAAUAGGAUUUUAAUCAAUGGAGUAACAAAAAUAAAGAUGUGAACCUAAUUUUCCCUUAUAAAAUUUAAUUUAGAAAUUUUGUGCUUCGGCAAGUUUGUAAGAAAUCUUCACGUCUAAAAUACGAUAUGAUUAUAAAUGUAAGUACUGACGACCUCAAAUCUUAUUGGAGCUAAUUAGCUAAUGUAAGAAACAAUCUUAUUUGGAUUCCUUAGCAAGUGGUUAACUAUUUGUUUCUAGUUUAGAAGUGUAGCAGUAAUUAAUUAGUUGAGAUUAAUAUCUUAAUAUUUUUUUUUCCAUCAAUUGUAAUCUAUAUUCUUGUAACACUCAUCAUUUGUUAAUAAUUUGUGCUUCGGCAAGUUUUGUUGCAGGAUCGAUCGAGGGGAGAGGCUUCUUUCAGAUACUCUGUAUGCAAUAUUGGAGAGAUAUAGAAUGUUCAAAGAAACUGAUUUCAAAUGAAGCUAGUGAAUGACAUAGUUGUUUUAGAUGGACGAGCAAAUGCAGCAGAUAGCCAACCCUUUAAAAUUAUGACCAUCAUUUUUAGGCAUAACAAAGUCGCCUACAUAUUUUUUCAUAAGCAAACUCAAACCGUUUGGGGUUAUCAUAAAUCCCGUUGAGAUAAAUGCCACAAUAUCUGCUUGAAGUCCAUCCCUGUACAUGUUGAAAUGUACAAGAAACUCACAUCAAAUUUGUCAAAAUUAAAGAUGACUUGUAUAUUGUGUGGUUUUCACUUCUAAUUAUACCAAGGUAUUUUGUGAUAAACUUUCACAUAUAAUGUUUUAUGCAUGUUGUAAAAUUCAAGUUGAGAGGAAGUAUUGAUGUUGUUAAUGAUGGUCGUUGAUUACGAAUCUCGACAUUAUUUGCAUUUGUUAUGUGAGUGUGUCGUAAGAUGUAUGAGAAGCAAGUCUAUGAGGCUCCACUGAUUGAUGAGAUAGGGACUAUUCAACUAACAAAAAUUUUGUUCAAAAAUAAAAACUAAUACACUGCAAUCACUACCAUUUAUACAAAAACUCCUCUCUCUCUCUCUCUCUCUCUCUCUCUCUCUCUCUCUCUCGAAGAGGCGGCCUUUAUUUAAGAGAGAAAAAAAAAAUUAAAUAUUACUGUAAAUGAACAAAAAUCAACAACUUAUUUUAGUUAUAUGUUUCCUUGAUCGAUUUUUAAAUAAGAAUGAAAAACGAAAUGGUAACAAAAACGAAUACUAAAAAAUCAAUAGUCGCGAAGUAUAUACCUACUUGAUGCCUUCUAGAUGUCGGCUGGGAAGGUGGAAUGAAAGAGAGAGGAAAAGAGGAAAGAAACAAACAAGAAAGGAAAAAGACUAUCCAAUUAUAACAAUGACUUCUUGGCGGUGAUUACAGCUAUUCAAUGCAUUAUUUUAGGUUGGAAUUUGGAAGCAUUUAAGAAGUGGCAUGACAACAACCACAUAAUAAACAAAUGUGAUUAGAGAAAAGACCAGGGCCAACCCAGCCUUAGUGUGGGCUGGGUGACCGUCCAGGUCCAAAAAUUAUCACGGGGGUAAUUUCAUAAAUGCUUUCAUAAGAGUAUAAAUUUAUACAAUUUUUUUUUGAAUGACCAAACAAUUUACCUAGAAUAGUGGUUUUUGUUGUAAAAAUUAACAAGAGGUUCUGAGUUCAAAACAUUGCGUGUUUAUUUACUUUUCAAUUUUUAUGAAUUUCUUUUAAUAAGAGUAUAAAUUUAUAAAAUUUGACAAAAUGAUCAAGAAAUUUAACCAAAAGUGAUGGUUUAUGUUGUUUGAAAAUAACAAGGAGGUACCAGUUCAAAACUCUAUGUGUUUUUUUUACUUUCUAGUUUUUACAAAUUUCUUUUCAAAACGCAAUCAUUUACGAGAUUCGGACUAAAAUUACGAACUACUAAAUCACUCUAUUAAUAUUAAGUGGUGCUUUAUAUAAUUAUUCGGAAUUUAAAGGAGGCAUAUGGGGUUGGAACAUCAAUUUAAAUCUCUCAAAAAAAUAAAAAUCCUAGACAGACAAGAAAAUCAAAAUACAGAAUGCGAUUGCAAAACAAUGCUCGUCUGAUGAAAGAGAAAAAUAGUAGUAGUAAUAUUCCCUAUAUACGCUGCAAUAGGCUUGCCUUUCUCAGCAGUAAGUUCCCAAGGAGCAAUCGGCCCGUGGAUAAUCAUGUCAGCAUCCAGAAUCACAACCCUAUUAAGAACAAAAAAUGCACAAAUAAUCCAAAUUUAGGAGAUGUGGUUGUUUAAUUGUACCUAAGGUGUAGUAGUUAUUGUUGGUGUUUACCCUUCAAGGGAGUCGAAGAUCUUGAAUUAAAGAGGAAUGCGGAAACUAGGAUUAAUAUUCAAUUUCUAUGUAUACUGGACAAUUUAAAGAUUGAGAUUUUUUUUCACUUCUACAGUUCUACACACUUUCUAGACCUAAAUAUUUCCGAGAAACAAACGAAAAGUGAAAAAAAUCGUACCCGGUCCUAGAGAGCAUACGUGAGAGGUUUUAAUCCAAACAUAAAAAAAAAACAAUUGACAACUAAAUCAGAAUUUUGACAACCAAUCAUCAAAAAAUUCAAAAUUUCUAAAACCUUUCGAUCAACUUUGGACUUACAUUGCAGUCUGUAGCUUUUCCAACCACAACGAAGGUAAUCGAGAAGGAAGCGAGAGCAUGGAGCAGCUCCCAUGGGAGCUCCUUGACAAAUGGUCUCCUAAAUACUGAAAAAUUAACCAUUUUUCAAAGUAAAUGCAGGGUUCAUAAAACUCAUGUGAAACUUAUUAAGAUUAAAAAACUUAGGCGAAUCAGUUUGUUCACAUACCUCACAUCCUGAGCCAAGAGAGCCAGAGGCUGCUGCUGCUGUUUUCGACAAAAUUGGGGCAAUGGUGGAGGAAGAUAGGAGGAGGGUUCUGGCAGAGCAAAUUGAUGAAAAAAAAAUAGAAGGGAAAAUGUAACACGACUUAGUAAUUUUAUAUGUUACGAAAGUAGUGAUAAAGUCCUGAUAAAAUAUCUACAUCUUUAUAUCUUUCCACUUUGAUAGCUAAAUUAAUAUUCUUAACCGAACCAAGUUCUUGAAUUAAAGAAUCUGGGGCUCUCUAUAGCACUGGAAAGAAUAUAACAUAUGAUUAAACAUACACAACCCAAAAGAUCCAUCCAGGCUAACCCCAUUGAAUUAAAACAAAUUCAACCAGGAAACAAAAAAAUUAAGAACAACCCAAAAACCAAAAGAACCCUAUUGUAGUUUUAGCUCACUAACCCAUCGAAUGAAAACAAAUUCAAUCAAAGAACAUAAAAUUAAUAACCCAGAAAUUUAAUCAAAUAAUUCUGCAAAAAAAGACACCAUUGGGUAUCGAAACUCAUGAAGAGCUCGGAAAUAAUCAAACCAACAUCCAAUUUAGUACACACCUAAGAAAAAUAUAAGCAAGAAACCAUUCCCAACUCUCCAAUCAUUCAUCAAACACAAUAAUACAAUCAUAUAAAACUCUCAUUCAUUUAUCCAAAUUGAAUUAAUUCAAUCUUCAGUGGAAGAUCUCAGUUAUUAUUAGAUAAUCUACCACUGAAUCAGAAGAGUUGAACAGAAAAAGGUAAACCAAACCAAAUUAUCCAUUUCAAAAGGCUGAAGCAGUGAUGUAAAUUAUCAAGGGGGGAACAUAUAGGGAAAAGAUAAGAAAAAAUGGCUUACCAAUUGUGGCUAUUGCCACCCCAAACAAAGACAACAGCAACAGACCUGAAAAAUUGAAUGCUGAAUUAAAAGAAACAUAUAUUGGAGAGUCAAAUUGAUAAAAAAUCCAACAUAACCAAAAUUUACAUUAACAGAUAAACAUACACCAGAGUAAAGAAAAAGAGAACCAAUGUGUUUCUGGUAAGGACCCAGCAAACCACCUAACACUUCAUACCACUUCUCAAAAAAAUUCCACAGAACAGAAUCAAAUCAAAAAAAAAAUUUGGUCUGAACUGAAAAUUAAGUAAAAAAAUUAAAACUCUUUUCUGAUUUGAACAAUAAAAUGCCAACCAAAAAUAAAAUAUAUACAAAGAAAAUAUAUAAACACAUUAAAAACUGAAAAACAUUCUUGCAUUCUGAACUAAGCAACAAACACUUGCUUUCAGUUUUAUAUAUUUAAACUCAUGACUGAUGAUAAAAUUACCAAAAUUUAGAAACAAUGUCAAUGAUAAGGACAAUGACUAAAAUUUCAUAUGACUAAAAUUUAGAAAAUGCAGAAAUUUGGCUCUGAACGAUUAAAAUAUAGAACAACAAAAACAAAACAAAAAAAAACAAACAUAAAUACUUACCGGUAAUAAAUCCCACCCACCACAGAAGCUCUAAGAGAUAAGAAUACCCUUCAUAACCUAUUACAAUCAAGAAUCAAUGAAAACAUUUCAGAAAAUCAAAAUCGUAAAAGCAAAAACUGAAAUUUUGAGGAAAAUUUGAAAUAAAUAAAUAAUCAUCAACUCUGACUCCAGAAGUAGCUGUAGGUACCUCAAAAGUGAGAGACAAAGCGAAGA